AAAAGUAGGAGCCGGCUCCGUGAUAUCUGGGUAGGUCCUCAGGCUUGAGCAACCACACAAAUCAAGCUUCCUCAACUUCAAAUUGAAAAUGGUGCUUGGAAAAGUUUGAAGUGAAUUACAGUGGGUAAGGUCUAACUUGCAUAGUCCGGUGAGGCUUCCAAUGGAAGAUGGAAUAAUCUCAAGAUUCAAGCAACGGUGCAAACUCAGUUCUUCAAGCCCUACCAAACGUGUCCAAGAUGAAGGUAGUGCCUGUAUGGCUGUGUCGUCUAAGAUGAGCACCGUUAAAUCUUCCAACGUGUCCUGAAUCUCGGGUAAAUUUUCCAAUUUUGAGCAACCCCGGAGAGAAAGUUGCUUUAGGAAUUUCAUAUCAGAAAGAUGAAAUGGAAAGAUUGUAAGAGAAGAACAGUGAGAGAGAUCUAAGCGAUAGAACUGCUUGCGACUAAAGGUUAAGGACACACCUUCCUUGAGUUUUGUGAACACUUUUAAGUGUAUGGUAUUAUUAGCCACUUCUUCUUCCUUAUAUCUGUCAAAAGUAAUUGAGAAAAUUUGACUGGAAGUUGGGAAAAGACCAUGGCGUCGACGUUUACGACGCCGUCGUGAGAAAUUGAUCUCUUUCAUCAUAUCCGGUUCCAGACGAGGGAAUCUUGAGAAAGUUUGACGUUGACGCUCGAGUAUGACAUGAGGGAAUCUGGGUUCACUGGUUGAAAACAUAUUAAGCUUCGGACAACGGGAAAUAUUAAUCCAUCCUGGUGAUGUGGAUAAAAUGUUGCUGGGAAUAUUUACACUUUCGAGAUUAGAACAAUUAUCUAAACAUAAAUAACUGAGCUUGGUGAGGAAUAUCGAGGAGUGAACUUCAAUCAACUUUUCACAAGAACUCAGAAUUAUUUCUUCAAUAUUUGGUGACAUAGAAAGGUCUGGUAUUCUAGUAAGUUUCAGAGAACCAGUCAGGUCGACCCUUUUCAACUUGGGUAAAUUCUGCCACAAAUACUAAAUGAAUGAGGUAACAAAUAAAAACUACUUUAUCUAUUUUUCUUCGGUAAACUAAUUUAUUUUUCAGAAAUGAUGAAAAUUAUAACUAAACUAUAUAAAAUUCCAUUUUAUUCUACUCAUCCUUAAUUUUUUUGUGAAAUCUUGAUUUUGGGAUAAUAUCACUUAAACUUAAGAAAUAUUUGGCAUUAAUGAACUCUAAACAAAUUCAUAUAAGAUAUACAUCACUUUCAAUCCAAAAUCUUAAACUAAUAGGUUUAUGAAUUUUCUUUAUAUGUUGUUUUAAAAAGUUGAGACUAAAUUGAACUUUUGAAAAUUGGGAGGAUGAAAUUAUAUUUUGUCUAUUAAUAUAGGGAUUAAAAAAAUAAUUGAAUCAAAUAUUACUAUUUUUGUGAUGUAUAUUUAUAUAUAAAUAAUUUUGAGAAUUUAGAGUUAUAUCAUAUAUAUAUAUAUAUAUAAAAUUCUUUUUGGUAAUGUAUCCUGUAAUUGUAAGCAAGUAUGAUUAUAUUAAGUGGGUGCGUUUCAAAUAGAGGAGACUACGCACAUACAAAUAUCUCUUAUAAAGUAAGAAAACAAACAAACCGUUACUCAAGAAGAUCAUGUAAUGCAUGACAGACAACAUGGGGAGAUAUCUAUCAUCAAUAAUAAAACGAUGUUUUCUGAGAGUUAAAAUUAAACCUUAUUUAAAAUAAGUCCAUCUUUCCAUAUUUUAUAAUUUGUUGUAUAUUAUAUUGAAGUUUAUGUUAUAAUAAAAAAAAUGACUUAAUUAAUCAAAUAAUGUGGAGAAGGCACAAAGGAAUUGCAAAUGAAAACCAGUAGAUGUAUAAUACAGAAAACAUGCUUGUAUAACUUAUUUUUGUCUUUGAAAGUUUAGAACACAAAGAAACAUAGAUAGCUUGAAAAACCUGAUCUCCUUCCCAAAGUUGUUCAAGAUUGCAGCCUGGCAUUUUGAGGGUCACUAGACUUUGUGGGCAAAAGUUUGGAGGCCAAAAUCUUUGAAGGAAAUUGUCCCAAUAAAGAAUCUUUAAAGUGUCCGGCAGAUCUACAAGAGAUGAUUCAAGAGACUCAUAAGAUUGUCCAUCUUUUCGAAACUUUGUGCAUGUACUACAGCAUCUUUUACUUUGUUCGUAUGUAGUAAUAUACACUGUAUUGCAUCUGACCCCUGAAAGUAAAUCAAUGUAAUUAGAAGAAAAAAACAUGAAAUGUUGCAUUGCAGGAUGUUUGAUGACAGCUCAGUGGUUUGCAAUUUUUCACAAAGUAAAUCCAUGUUCAAUUGAGUAACGACAUAAUACCUUGUUCUUUCUUAAAACCUCUCAAAUUUCCUCAGCAUUAAACAAUCGGCUGCGUUUUCCAGGAUGCUGAGGACACUCUUUACGAACAAUUUCUUGACUCAUUUCUUGUAUUAGAUCGUGCAUCACAAUUCUACCAUCAAAGACAGAUAUUAGGCCCCUAUCUUUGAGAAUAUCCAUUCCAAUCUUAGAAGAGAAACCACAGUCAGCAAGUGUUUCUGCUACCACAAUCUCCUGGCGUCCUCUAUAAAAGCAAGCUAUGUCAAGAAAUAUAUUCUUCUCCUCCUCCUCCAGCCCAUCAUAACUUAAUUUUAAUACAUUGAAAAUAUCAAGAUGUUGGCCCUUUUCCAACUUUUGCAACUGACUCUCCCAUGCUUCUCUUGUUCUGCCAUAAAGCAAUGACCCCAAAAUCUAGAGAGCUAAUGGAAUCCCUUUUGCAUAUCUCAACACCUUUUCUGACAGUUCCCUGUAAGCAAUUUCUUCUGAAGAUUUUUGUUUAAAAGCAAGUAAACUAAAAAGUUUCUGAGAAUCAUCAAAAUUCAACUCCUUAACUUCGUAGAUAUCAUCAGCUCUAGCAUUCUUAAGCACUUGUUUGUCUCUACUGGUGAUAAUCAUUCUACUGCCCUGCCCAAAACUAUCACUCCCUCCUAUUAAUUUUUUAAGUAGAGCUGAAUCGGUAACAUCAUCAAGAAUGAGGAGAGCCUUUGUCCGUUUCAGCCUUUCAUUGUAAUAUGAUAAACCAUGGGAUUUCUUUAUCUCUUCCUUUAGAAGCUCAGACAGAUAUUUUGUUCUGAUACUGUCUAUUCCAUCUUUUUGUAUUUUUUCUUGAACGUCUAAAACAAGGCUGCUGGAACCAAACUGCAAAGCCAAUGUGUGAUAUAUUUGAUAACAAAUUGUAGUUUUUCCUAUUCCUCCCAUGCCACAAAUUCCUAUGAUCCGAACAUGCGGUGACUCAAGAUGCAACAAGGACUGAAUUCCUUCAAUGUGUUUUUCAAUGCCGAUGAUUCCUUGAUCAUAACUGGUGGAAUAACGAUUCAAUUUUCUCAAAAUAUCUUCCACAAUUUCUUCAACAAGUGUGUGUUCUGGCCUGGCAGAUGAUUUAGAAAAUAAAGUAUAAGUAUUCAAGCACAAAAGCUAAACUAAACUAAAGAAAAAAUCAGAGUUAAGAGGAGUGAACAUCAUUGAAUAGAUUCACAUAUCGAUUCUAGUUUCGAGUUUUGGAUAAAAUAAAUAAAUUAAAAAGUUGAAGGUAAGUAUAGGACGUUAUCUUCGUAUAUUAGUUUGGUUGGUUUAGAAAUUGCAAAUCAAGAUGGCAAAAAUACUACAGUAACCGUUUGUGACUUCUGAUAAUAGGGAGCAGAUUUGUAGGUACAAAGUUAAGCUAUAACAUGUGAUAUGGUUCAGAUCCAUGACCGACUAAAAGAAAGACUUGAUUUAUGGUGAGAUGAACACAAUUUUAGUAAAUGAAAAGAAAUCCUGUUUAUCUCGAAAUUAUCUAAUAAAUAUAAUGACCUGGUGACUUUUGAAUCCCAGCCUGAAAGUCCAGCAGCUUCGGUGAGAGCAUCCUUCCAUCCUUGCGCUUUGACCAUGUCGUGCAUAAACCGCUGUUCAUGAUCAUCGAAUGAUUCUUUGUAUCUUUCUUCCUGCUUCCUAAUAGUUGAUGGAUCCACCUUGUAGAAAACAGGUAUCACAUCCCUUCCAAAUCUCUUCUUGCAUUCAAGUAUCUUACUGAGUUCAUUCAAGCACCAAGUGGAAGAUGCAUAGUUUUGGGAGAAAACGAUGACAUAAAUCUUUGAUUCUUCUAUUGCAGAGAGCAGUGCAGGUGAAAUUUCUUCGCCCCUGAGUAGUCUAUAAUCAAUAUAUGCUUCAAUGUUCUUCCUUUGCAGUGCUGCAUAAAGGUGGCUAAUGAAGUUGUCACGUGUGUCUUCGCCUCUGAAGCUGAGAAACACAUCAUGCCUUGUUAGAGAAGUAGACACGGCCAAUGAUGAAGGACUUUCUGACAUUGGAGUCAAUUUUCUCUCCUUUCUCUGCAAUUCUCAGGUCUCUUUCUUUGUACUGUUUCUACCACAAAUCUACUCUGCUGCUCUGGACUCAUUAUAAAACACAAGUCAACUUUUGAAAAAGUCUUUCAAUUUUCUUAACAUUCCUUUCACAGAUAUGUGUUCUGGUCAGACAUCGUAGUCAGCAGAAACUAAAGAAAAAGAAAAAUAUUAAUUUAAUAGAAUAGUCAACAAAUUGCAAAAUAAGUAUGGAAUCUAGAUUUAUAUCAUUAUCACGUGUGGAAACAUAGCUACGUCUUCUUAGAUAAAAUCCUUAUUUAAGUUUUAAUUGGGCCUUGUAGUGGGCUUUGUAAUCUGCUUUUCUUUUCUCCUAUAUUGCUUUAUAUAUACACCUCCACUUUUGCUUUCUACAUUUCAUUUUACAAAAUACAUUCUCUCAUUCUGUGUCAUUUAUCUUGCCUGAUUCCGUCCUCUCUUUAUCUUUUUCUCUCAUCCUCUUGCUUAUAAUUCUUUUGUUUUUAUUAAGAAAUACACUAUAAUUCUAAUUUAAUCAUAUACUAUAAUUAUGCUAAUCAUCAAUUAGUACUAUAUAUUAUUAAUGAUCUGCGUAUAUAUUAUUUAUGAUUUGCGGAUAAGACAAUAGAUUCAAUAAAUUCUAGAUAAAAUAAAUUUUAAAUGAAUAUGAUAAAAAUAUAUUAAAAAAUGAACUUUAUUGAAUCGAUUGAGUAUCUCUAUUUUAAAGACUUGUAAGAAUAAUAGGAAUAACAAUAUAUUAAUAUUAAUAUGUUUCUUAAUAAAUUUCAUACCCACUAUCUAUUUAUAAAUUAAUAUAUUAUAAAUAUCUAAUGAUGUCUUAUUUCUCUAACAUUUAAAAUUAAAUUUGUAGAUUCUACAAAACAUUACAUUUUGAUUUUAAUAUUUAUAAAAUAUUUUUUAUUCUCAUAUUUAAAAAACAAAACUUAGUUUGAGUGUAUUCCUUAGUUACUUACUACUCAUCACCAGCCGCCAACAGCGUGAUGGCUUCACUCUCCGUUCGCGCCACAACCACCUCUUAUCGGGCCUCCUUCCGGCCCAAGCCCACCUCGGGGCCCACCAGGGUCCGAAUGUCCCUCCGCGAUGACGGCCCCGCCAUCGCCGUCGUCGGCGUCACCGGCGCCGUUGGCGAGGAGUUCCUCUCCGACCGCGACUUCCCCUACCGUUCCAUCAAAAUGCUGGCCUCGCAGCUCUCCGCCGGCCGCCGCAUCAUCUUCGAGGACAGGGACUACGUCGUGGAGGAGCUCACAGCGGAUAGCUUCGACGGCGUCGACAUUGCGCUCUUUAGCGCCGGCGGUGGUAGACUAUAGCUCCGCAUUUGGGAUGGACGAGAAGGUGACGCUGGUUAUUCCCGAAGUGAAGCCCCAAACGAUGCAACACAUCAAAGUUGGAACGGGAAAAGGCGCUCUGAUUGCGAACCCUAAUUGCUCCACCAUUAUUUGCUUGAUGGACAUACUAAUUAAUAUCAAUUAUAACAAAUAAUGAACGUUUCUGGUCAUUUCUUGUACUUCGCGUUAUUUCAUAACAGUAGUUUUUUUAAAUAAAUUAAGAAAAAUAUUCAUUUUUAAAUUUAAUGCACUUUUAAAUAAUUUGACUAUUAUAAACAUAAUCACUUAUAAAAAUAAUUUUAGAGUAGUUGAUAUAAUUAAAAUAAAAUAUUUUAUUAUUAAAGUAAAAAUUAUAUAUAAAUAAAAAAUAGGUUUUAUUUUAAAAUAAUAUUCAAUUUUAUAAAAGUUUUUUCUUUUUGUCUUUUUUUUUUUAUAUUUCUAACCAUAUUUUUUCGUGAGGUUGAUAAUAGAAUCUCACUUUGGAUUUAUGGGAAUGAAUAAUGAAUUAGUUUUUAGUUUUCUAUUUAUCUAUAUAUAAAGGUGAUACGGUGACAAAUUCCAAAAUUUUAUUAUAAUGUUUGCUUUGUUGAUUGAAAUAGAUGUUAAUUGAUGAAAAAGAUUGAAAGUUUUAAACCCAAUACACCCCUCACGUCGAGGUUAGGUGGACUGAUAAGUUCAGCAAAAUCUCGUUAUGAUAGUUUUUAGAUGACUCUGAUACCACAAUAAAAAAUAAACUUUAAAUUUAACUCAACCUUACAAAACUAAUUUAUAAAGUGAGCUAUGUAUCCCUAGUCGAUGUAGAAUCUCUAACAAUGAUUUAAAUGAAUUGUUAUAUGCUUUAUGAAGUUUAACCUUUAUUUUUACUUGACAAAUUGGAUUUUAAUGAGGUAUAUAUGCUCUCAGCAUCAAAUCCGCUUAACGAAAUUUAUAUGUGUCAAGCGAAUUUGGACAUGUAGAGUUUGAUGUGCUCUUGGCCUCAAAUCCGCUCAAUGUUUUUUUUUCCUGUACUUAAGCAAACUUACAUCCAGAUUUUGGAGUACUUUCGAACUCAAAUUUGCUCAAAGAAAUUUUCUUAUGGUAAGCAAAUUUAAGCGGCUAUUGUUUGGAUGUUCUCUGCCUCAAAUUCGUUCAGUGAAAUUUUCCUGUGCUAAGGAGAUUUCUCUGGGCUUAAGCCCCAACUUCAUGGGCUCGACCCAUUUUGACGACAUUUGUCAUCUUUGCUUAGAUAUCUUUUGGUUUGUUUUCUAUAGGUCAUGAAAUUGAAUUAAAUCUUUUGAAAUUUAUCAUUUUGUAAAUUGUAAGUGAUUACAACUUUCUAAUGUUCAUGCAACAUGUGUUUAAAAUAAGUAAAUCUAACAAAUAAAUACUCGUUACAUAUUCAAUGGAAAGCUUUUUCUUUUAAUUCUUUGGUGUUUUAUUUUGAUGAUGUAUAUAUUUGAAAAUCAAUGUAUGAAUGGAUAAUGCUUUAUGAUAUAAUAAUAUUACAAUGUAAAUGUUAUUUAUAUACUAUCACAUGAUAAAUUAAAAUUUAAUAAGAUAGUUAAGGAUGUUAUAAUUAUUCUUUUAAUUUAUUUUAUUUCACUGUAUAUUUAGGUGUAUUACGUAGAAUGUAUAGUUAAAAAAAUAAUGUUAUUUUGAAAUUUAAAGAAUGACGUAUAGAAAUAAACAAGCUUUUGUUAAAAUUAUACUAUUUGAAAAGGAACACAGAACAAUAUUGACAAUUAUACUUUUACUUAUUACUUAUUUUAAUUUAUUAUAUUCAUGAGUAUUAUUUUUUUUAAACAUAGAUAUUGGAUAAAAAAUAUAAAUAACAUUUAUUUAUUUCAAAUUUAAAAAUCUUUAAAAUAAAAUUAAAUAAUAUUUUUAAUUAAGAUGUGUUUUUUAACAAUUUUUUUAAUUUAAAAAAUAAUUAAUUCGGAGGAUGAUUAAAGAAAUAUUAACAAAUUAUUUCUGCGUUUAUAAUAAACCUUCAAUAAUAUUUGUACUUUCUAGCAUAUAGAAUACUUAAUGGAUCCCUUUGUGAUUUUUCUUUUCUAAAGUGCAAUUGAUAUUUUAAAUGUUUUUCUAUUUAAUUUUCCUUUCUUAAUGACACAUUAAAGGGUUCAGUGCACGAUUAAUUAUUCUCACCUUAGAUUUCAUUCAUCUCAUUCCAUUUCCACACUCAAAUCAUUCUCACAUUUUUUUCUACCUAUUUCACAAAGUUUUAUGUAAAAUAUGGAAAUUAAACUAAAAGAACCCUACUUAUAUAUUAAUAUUCAACAACUUAAAAUAUUACUAUGCAAAUUAAUCUUUCUUAAUAAUGUUAUGUAAAAAUUAAAAUGUAGUUUAGUCAUUCAUACUUAGAUGGAUAAAGAUGGUUUUAGAAAAAAAAUGCAUUUUAUUUCAAAUCUAUUACUUAUAAAAUGAGUUAUAAAAUGAGGUUUGUGAUAUUUAUUCAAAAUUUAAAUUAUAUUAUGCAUUUAUGGUUUUAUGUUUUUAAAGAAAUCAGAAACUUAGAAAAGCUCCUAAAAACUACUGAAAUCCAUAAGAUGAUAAUUAAUAAACAUCCUCUCUUAAUAACAUAACAUAUAAGAUAGGAGUCUUUACACUUAUAUUCUUCAAACAAUUAUAAGCUGUCUUCAACUUUACUGUUAAACUACAAUUAUAAAGAAUUAACAAUCUCACACACCAACAACAUUUAUAAGCCAUCACUCACAUGAAACAAGGUGCCUCAAUGUGAAAAAACCAAGAUCAAUAAGAAAUGAGGUUCCACUUAACCAAGCUGAGAAUUUUCUGGUUUUCCAACUCCAUGCACAAACCUAAUACAAUGAUAUGAUAUUCAAUCAGCAUUAAUUGGCAUAAACAGGUACAUUGUUGUAAAACUGGGAUUAUAAGGUUCCAUAGGAUGGAGAAAAGUAAGAAGAGGAUUUACCAAUUACCCUUUCAAAUGGAGCUCCUCAGGAUUUCAUAAUGCCUUCACUGCAAAUGCAACCCAAAUAUGCUAAAAAAGUUAAUGAAACUAUAUAUGAAGAGUUUCAAGAAAAUGCAACUCUGGGACAACAGAGAAACCCAUCUCAUGCUGAACAGAAACAUCAAACUAUAUCUAACAAUAACUUAGAAAUCUUUGUCAACAAUUGAACGAACCCACUCCUAAAAUGCCAUUGAAAAUGUAAAUAAAACAAAAUAAAUUAAAAACGAGAAAUUCAUAAUAAAAAUUCAACGUGUUGAAACUUAUGAUAACUCAGUUUAGAUCCUGACCAAUGAAAGACUAAUUAGCAGAAGAGGAAGAGACUAGUUGACAGGGUAGCUUUCGGCCUUUCUCUUCCUAUCUUUCCUUGUUUCUCUUGAAGACUGUGCAACAUUGCUUCCACUGGAUUCUUCAAUGUCAACAUCACCACCAUAUUUAUCAUCUUUCUUUUUGGUAUAAAGGGGGCAUAUGCCGCAUUCUUUUAUUGUGAUGUCUGAUGCCAUCACUCUCACACCUGAUUUGUAACUAUACAGACUGAUCUCAAAAGUGAAGCUGCGAGCAUCACAGACCCUAAGGCUCUUGCGGCUCGCCGUUAGGGACUCCAUGUUAAAUUUCCACACGAAUGUGUGAUCUUCAUCAACACAUCUGUGUUCACCAUUCCAUUUGAAAUAGCUGUUUAACACAUCAUUAUUUAGAAUGAUCUGUGUGCCAUCAUCAUCAUCAGAUUCAAAUUUUAGACUGUAACCAAAAGAACCAUAUCUACAUUUAACAGCUUUCGUAUCUAACACUCCAAAAACCACACACAAAGCGAAACCAGUGAGCCUAUCAUCGCUGCAGAAACUUAAAUCUUCAUUUAUAGUCACUGAAUGUCCCUUCCCACGAGAAUGGAACCAACGAGGAACUGCAUUCCCUGGAAAACAGAAGAACACAGACCUAUAUGCAUCGUCGGUCAUCCUAACCCAUGCAUCCUCCUCAAUGUUAGCACGAGCACCUGAAUCCAGUUGCUGAGCAUUGGUGAAAUGAAAUUUGAAGACACCCUCUUUGGAGUUUGAGAAGUUUGGAACAAGAGAAUUUGACAUCACUCUUCUGAUGGAUGGGCAAUCCAAUGCCACGAGUUGUUUUAGAAAUGGUGGAAUCUGUGGGAUGGAUUCAAGUUUUUUGCAGUCGCUUAAAUCGAGCGAGUUCAAGCUUGAAAGAUGAGCAAUGCUCUCAGGAAGGUUCACGAUUCCGCUAUCACGCAGUGACAGUUCCAUUAAUGACGUCAAGCGACCGAUGUGGCUUGGGAUUUCUGUUAAUUUGGCACACCCCGAACAAUCAAGUUUAGAGAGAAGCUUCAGAUUAACAAUGGAGUUUGGAAGUGACUCGAGAUGAAUGCACUCUUGGAGUUCCAGGGAUCGAAGAUUAACGAAAUUGCCAAAUGAGGAAGGCAGUUCUUUAACAGCCGUAGAUGUUAAGUUAAUGUGAGCAAAAGUAUGAGCCGGCUCCGCGAUCUCUGGGAAGGUCCUCAGCCUUGAGCAACCACGCAAAUCAAGGUUCCUCAACUUCAAAUUGAAAAUGGUGCUUGGAAAAGUUUGAAGUGAAUUACAGUGGGUAAGGUCUAACUUGCAUAGUCUGGUGAGGGUUCCAAUGGAAGAUGGAAUAAUCUCAAGAUUCAAGCAACUGCGCAAACUCAGUCCUUGAAGCCCUACCAAACGGCACAAGGAUGAAGGUAGUGCCUGUAUGGCUGUGCCGUCUAAGAUGAGCACCACUAGAUCUUCCAACGUGUCCUGAAUCUCGGGUAAAUUUUCCAAUUUUGAGCAACCACUGAGAGAAAGUUUCUUUAUGAAUUUCAUAUCAGAAAGGUGAAAUGGAAAGAUUGUAAGGGAAGAACAGUGAGAGAGAUCUAAGUAACAGAGCUUCUUGCGAUUAAAGUUGAAGUGACAGAGCUUCAUGAGUUUUGUGAACACUUUAAAACAUAUAGUAUCAUUAGCCACUUCUUCUUCCUUAUAUCUGUCAAAAGUAAUUGAGAAAAUUUCACUGGAAGUUGGGAAAAAAGGACCACGGUGUCGACGUUUACCACGCCGUCCUGAGAAAUUCGUCAUAUCCGGUUCCUGACGAGGGAAUAUUGAGAAAGUUUGAAGUUGACGCUCCAGUAUCACAUGAGGGAAUCUGGGUUUACUGAUCGAAAACAUAUUAAGCUUCGGACAACGGGAAAGAGUAAUCCAUCCUGGUGAUGUGGAUAAAAUGUUGCUGGGAAUAUUUACACUAUUCAGAUCAUUACAAUCAUCUAAACAUAAACAACUGAGCUUGUUGAGGAAUAUCCAAGAGUGAACUUCAAUCAACUUUUCACAACUUUUCAGAAUUAUUUCUUCAAUAUUUGGUGACAUAGAAAGGUCUGGUAUUCUAGUAAGUUUCCGAGAAUAACUCAGGUCGAGCCUUUUCAAGUUGGGUAAAUUCUGCCACAAAUAGGAAAUGAAUGAGGUAACAAAUAAAAACUACUUUAUCUAUUUUUCUUCGGUAAAAUAUUAGCUACAUCAUCUAAUCUAUUCACUUUAUAUUUUACAUUACUUCAAAACCACUGUUAAAAAAAAUCACACUGUCAACUAACAAAACUGUGGCUAUAAAUUUAAUAGUUAUUAUAAAAAACCACAAAAUUUAACGUGUUUUUGUUCCCUACCUCAAAUUACAUCCUAAUAAUUUGAACCUAAACUUAUUAUGUAUUUAAAAACUGAUGAUAGUAAUUUAUAAUCGAUGACAGUGUGGAAAUACUUUAUAUCAUGCAUGUAUCAACUGACAAAAUAAAAUGGUGUUGUCUGAUGAUAGUAAUUUAUAAUCGAUGACCAUCUUUCCAUAAUUUAUUUUAUUAAAUACAUAAUUUGUUGUAUAUUAUAUUGAAGUUUAUGUUAUAAUAAUAAAAAAAUACUUAAUUAGGUUUUGAGUAUCCAGUAAGACAUUUUUAAUUAAUUUUUUUAUUAAAUUUUUUAAUUAUUUAAGUACUCAAAUUUUUUAUAUUUCCAAUAGAAUAUAUGUCAUUUUUAAUUUUUGAGUUAAUUGGGUGAUACAGAAAUUAUCUUGUCACAUGAUCUUACUUACUUGUCUUUAUGUAUUAAGGAAUAUGAAGUUUUAUGAUUGGCCAUUAGACUAUAUACCUAAAAAGAGGAUGCAAACUCUUCUACAUGCUACUAAAUUUAUAACUAUCUUUAAUUAGAAACAUGCUGAGUAUGAUUCUUAUGAUAUAUGUAUAACUGUGUGGUUCAAAUAAAAGAAAUUUCAAAUCGAAUAAUGUGGAGAAGCACAAAGGAAUUGCAAAUGAAAACCAGUAGAUGUAUAAUACAGAAAACAUGCUUGUAUAACUUAUUUUUGUCUUUGAAAGUUUAGAACACAAAGAAACAUAGAUAGCUUGAAAAACCUGAUCUCCUUCCCAGAGUUGUUCAAGAUGGCAGUAUGGCAUUUCGAGGGUCACUAGAUUUUGCGGGCAAAAGUUUGGAGGCAAAGAUCUUUGAGGGAAAUGUUUCCAAUAAAGAAUCUUUAGAGUGUCUGGCAGACCUACAAUAGAUGAUUCAAGAGACACAUUUGACGUGUAUUUUGGCGUGUUGAGCAUAAGCAUCCUAAGAUUGUCCAUCUUUUCGAAACUUUGUGCAUGUACUACAACUUCAUUUACUUUGCUCGUAUCUAGUGAUAUACACUGUAUUGCAUCUAACCCCUGAAAGUAAAUCAAUGUAAUUAGAAAAAAAAAGCAUGAAAUGUUGCUGUAUGGUUAUGGGCAGAUUGAUGAGAUAUGGUAACCUUCGGAUACUGAUCAUGAAGUGACAUAAAGGAGAAGGAAGCGUUACUGAAGGAGAGUAAUGGAAAUUUAUGAGAAAUUAAGCCGUUGGUUACAGAGACUAGGUAGGGACCGAGUCAUCUAUACCAGGGACCGAGUCAUCUAUAAGAGGAGGCAGAGACGAAGAGUAGGGGUAGGAAAAAAAGAUAUGGUUUUUAUAUUAUCUUUGAUGCUCUAGCUAAGGAUCAUCUGUCCUAAAACAGUUGCAUUUCUGGAUGUUUAAUGACAGCUCAAUAGUUUGCAGUUUUUUCACAAAGUAACAACAGAAUAUACCUUGUUUUUUCUUAAAACAUCACAAAUUUCCUCAGCAUUAAACAGUCGGCUGCGUUUUCCAGGAUGCCGACGACACUCUUUACGAACAAUUUCUUGACCCAUUUCUUGUAUUAGAUCGUGCAUCAUAAUAAUACCAUUAAAGACAGAUAUUAGGCACCUAUCUUUGAGAACAUCCAUUACAAUCUUAGUAGAGAAACCAUUGCAGUCAUCAAGUAUUUCUGCCAGCACAAUCUCCUGGUAUCCUCUAUAAAAGCAAGCAAUGUCAAGAAAUAUAUUCUUCUCCACCUCCUCGAGCCCAUCAUAACUUAAUUUUAAUACAUUGAAAAUACCAUGAUGUUGGCCCUUUUUCAACUUUUGCAACUGACUUUCCCAUGCUUCUUUUGUUCUGUCACAAAGCAAUGAGCCCAAAAUCUGGAGAGCUAACGGAAUCCCUUUUGCAUAACUCAACACCUUUCCUGACAGUUCCUUGUAAGCAAUUUCUUCUGAAGAUUUUUGUUUAAAAGCAUGUAAACUAAAAAGUCUUAGAGAAUCAUCAGAAUUCAACUCCUUAACUUCGUAGAUAUCAUCAGCUCUAGCAUUCUUAAGCACUUGUCUGUCUCUACUGGUCAUAAUGAUUCUACUGCCCUGCCUAAAACUAUCACUCCAUCCUAUUAAUUUUUGAAGUUGAGCUGAAUCGGUAACAUCAUCAAGAAUGAGGAGAGCCUUUGUCCGUUUGAGCCUUUCUUUGUAAUAUGGUAAAGAAGAAGAUUUCUCUUCCUUUAGAAGCUCAGACAGAUAUUUUGUUCUGAUACUAUCUAUUCCAUCUCUUUGUAUUUUUUCUUGAACGUCUAAAACAAGGCUGCUGGAAUCAAACUGCAAUGCCAAUUUCUGAUAUAUUUGAUCACAAAUUGUACUUUUUCCUAUUCCUCCCAUGCCCCAAAUUCCUAUGAUCCGAACAUCCGGUGACUCAGGAUGCAACAAGGACUGAAUUCCUUCAAUAUGUUUUUGAAUGCCGAUGAUUCCUUGAUCAUAACUGGUGGAAUAAAGAUUCAAUUUUCCCAAAAUAUCUUCCACAAUUUUUUCAACAAGUUUGUGGUCAUUCCUGGCAGAUGAUUUAGAAAAUAAAGUAUAAGAAUUCAAGCACAAAAGCUAAACUAAACUAAAGAAAAAUUCAGAGUCAAGAGGAGUGAACAUCAUUGAAUAGAUUCACAUAUCGAUUCUAGUUUCGAGUUCUGGAUAAAAUAAAUAAAUUAAAAAGUUGAAGGUAAGUUUAGGACGUUAUCUUCCUAUAUUAGUUUGGUUGGUUUAGUAAUUGCAAAUCAAGAUCGCAGAAAUUCUACAGUAACCGUAUGUGACUUCUGAUAAUAGGGAGCAGAUUUGUAGGUACAAAGUUAAGCUAUAACAUGUGAUAUGGUUCAGAUCCAUGACCGACUAAGAGAAAUGAAAAAAGAAACACUUGAUUUAUGGUGAGAUGAACACAAUUUUAGUAAAUGAAAAGAGAUCCUGAUUAUCUAAUAAAUAUAAUGACCUGGUGACUUUUGAAUCCCAGCCUGCAAGUUCAGCAGCUUCGGUUAGAGCAUCCUUCCAUCCUUGCACUCUGUCCAUGUCGUGCUUAAGCCGCUGUUCAUGCUCAUCAAAUGCUUCUUUGAAUCUUUGUUCCUGCUUCCUAAUAGUUGAUGGAUCCACCUUGUAGAAAACAGGUAUCACAUCCCUUCCAUAUCUCUUCUUGCAUUCAAGUAUCUUAGUGAGUUCAUUCAAGCACCAAGUGGAAGAUGCAUAGUUUUGGGAGAAAACGAUGACAUAAAUCUUUGAUUCUUCUAUUGCAGAGAGUAGUGCAGGUGAAAUUUCUUCGCCCCGGGGUAGUCUCUCGUCAAUAUAUGCUUGAAUGUUCUUCCUUUGCAGUGCUGCAUGAAGGUGACGAAUGAAGUUGUCACGUGUGUCUUCCCCUCUGAAGCUGAGAAACACAUCAUGCUUUGUUAGAGAAGCAGACACGGGGAAUGAUGAAGGACUUCCUGACAUUGGAAUCAAUUUUCUCUCUUUUCUCUUGCAACUCUCAGUGCCUUUGUUUGUACACAAAUCAACUCUUGGAAAAGUCUUUGAAUUUUCUCAAAAGUAUCUUUCACAGAUCACGCACGCGUGGAAACAUAGCUGUGUUAAAAUCCUUAUUUAAGUUUUAAUUGGGCCUUGUAGUGGGCUUUGUAAUGUGCUUUUCUUUUCUCCUACAUUGCUUUAUAUAUACACCUCAGCGUUUGCUUUCUACAUUUCAUUUUACAAAAUACAUUCUCUCAUUUUCUACCUUUUAUAUUGUCUGAUUCCGUUCUCUCUUUAUUUUUUUUCAAAUCUCUUUUGCUUACAAUUUUUUUUUCUUUUUUAAGAAAUGUACUUUUUCAAGUUUAAUUUAAUUUUAUAAAACAGUCAUCUUUCUACAGUAUUAUCAUCUCUUACGUGAGAUUAUUAUAUAUUAUUUGGUGAUCUAAGUAAACUUUUAAUCCAAUAAACUUUAAAAAUAAUUCUAAUACUAUAUUAAAAAAUGAAAUUUAAAUCUAAUUCUAUUUUAUAAAAUAUAUUUAUUCAAUGCUAAAAUAUCUCUAAUUGAGUAGGGAUGUUCAAAAUACUUAUUGGUUCUUGAUUUUCACUUUCACUUUUAAGGUUUUUCUUCGCAGACACGUAGUAAACAGAAAUACAAAAAUAUGAGUCAAUGGAAGAGUCUAACGAUUCGCAGAAUAUUAUGGUGUCUAGCUUUAUACCGCAUUAAUGCGAGGAGUUUCUUUAAUAUUUUUACUCAAUUUAUUUAUUUUUAAUUCUUUUUUUUUUCACACCUUUUACAAAUAAAGAAUCGUAUUUCUUUAAUAUAUUUUAGAAAAUAACCACUAAACCUUAUUAUAAAAUAUAUUUAUGAAAUGCACGUGUAAGAAUAACAGGAAAAAUAUUACUACGAAAAACAAUAUAUUAAUAUUAAUAUGUUUCUUAAUAAAUUUCAUACCCACUGUCUAUUUAUAAAUUAAUAUAAUAUAAAUAUCUUUAAUGAUGUUUUUGUGGGUAGCUUAUUUCUCUAACGCAGAAUAUUAUGGUGUCUACUUUUAUAAAACAUUACAUUUUGAUUUUAAUAUUUAUUAAAUAUUUUUUAUUUGGGAUGAAGUAACGAUGAUGAAUCGAAUGUGUUUUGAAGUCUGACAUAACUUUUAGAGAUGUUAUGAGAACGGUUAAUGACGGAAAUUAUCAAAAACCUUUUGGGGGAAGGUUGUGGUUUUGGGAGGUGAUUUCAGGUAAAUAUUGUUAGUGGUAAAAAAAGGAUUAAGAUAUGAUGUUGUGAAGUCAACAAUCAACUUUUCUCAUUUGUGGUUAAAUUGUCGAGUCUUAAAACUUUCUCAAGGAAAUCCAACACGAUCUAUUGAUUGAGCCCACAAAAACACCUUUGUUAUCAUUGGUGAAUUUUGUUUAUCCUAAUUUAUUGACUGAUAUGUUAUGUCCUGAGUACUUUGAGUAUGGAGCAAUACUUUGUCCGACAACUGAAUCAGUAGAGCAAGUGAAUGAUUUUAUUUUAUCUCUGUUAAGUGGUAAAUAAAUAAAUUAUCUUAGUUCGGAUACACCUUGCCAAUUAGAUUAAGAUCAAGAAUUUAAAGUGAAUGGUUCACUUCUGAGUUCUUAAAUGAGAUAAAAUGUUCAGAGAUACUAAAUCAUCGCCUUCAUUUGAAAAUUGGCGUGCCUAUUAUGCUUUUGAGAAAUAUUGAUCAAACCAACGGUCUUUGUAAUGGAACAAGGUUGCAAGUUAUUGAUUUGAAGAAAAUGUUAUUUGUGCAAUAGUUCUAACAGGAACAAAUAUUGGUGAUAAAAUCUUUAUUUCAAUAAUGAAUUUGAUCCCUUUAGAUGUAGGUAUGCCAUUCAAAUUCUAGAGAAGACAAUUUCCAAUAACUUUAUGUUUUGCAAUGACAAUUAAGAAAAGUCAAAGUCAAUUAUUGACCAAAGUUGGUUUAUAUUUUUCACGUCCAAUUUUCACACAUUGAUAGUUGGAUGUAGCUAUUUAUAGAGUUAGAAAGAAAAAAAUUUAAAAAUUCUAACUCUUGAUGAAGAUGGGAAUGCAACAAACAAGAAAAAGAAAAUGUUUACACUGAAACUUUUGACAAUAUUUAAAAACAAUAGAAUUAUAUGAUAAACUUGGAAUAAUGGCUAAUUCUCCCUGCACCCAAUAUUUUUGAACAUGCAACUUUUAAAUUUGCUCCCUUGUAAUUAUAUUUUCUUAUGUGUGAUGUAGUAACAGUUGCCUUAUUUAAAAUGUUACUAAAUAACAUAUCAUUUAUAUCUGUUAUUUUUAUUCUGUUCUGAUUUUAUAUAUAUGUUAACGAAGUUGAGAAUUUUCUGAUUUUACAGGUCCAUGCACAAACCUAAUAUAAUGAUAUGAUAUUCAAUAUCAAGAGGUACUUGUCGUAAAACGGGGAAUAUGAGAGACUCCAUAGAAUGAAGAAAAAGUAUAAAGAGGAUUUACAAAUUACCCUUUCAAAUGCAGCUCCUCAGAAUUUCUUAAUGCCUUCACUGCAAAUGCAACCCAAAUAAGCUAAAGAAGUUAAUCAAACUAUACAUUAAGAGUUUCAAGAAAAUGAAACUCUGGAACAACAGAGCAACCCAUCUCAUGCUCAAUAGAAACAUCAAACUAUAUCUAACAAUAACUUAGAAAUCUUUGUCAACAAUUGAACGAACCCACUCCUAAAAUGCCAUUGAAAAUGUAAAUAAAUAAAUAAAAAUUAAAAAUGAGAAUUCAUAAUAAAAUUUCAUCGUGUUGAAACUUGUAAUUUAGAAGUAUUACGAUAAGCCAGUUUUGAUCCUCGCGAAUGAAAGACUAAUUAGCAGAAAGACUGUGCAAAAUUCCUUCCACUGGAUUCUUCGAUGUCAACUGAUUUGGUAUAAAGAGGACAUAUGCCGCAUUCUUUUAUUGUGAUAACUGAUUUCAACUCUCUCACAAGUAAUUUGCGAUUUGACCGAUUUGGCCGCAGAAAGGGAUCAUCAUAAUCAUGCGAACUGAUCUCAAAAGUGAAGCUGCGAGCAUCACACAGCCUAAGGCUCAUGCCGCUUGCCCUUAGGGACUCCAAGUUAAAUUUCCACACCAAUGUGUGAUCUUUAUCAACACCUCUCUCUUCAUCAUCCCAUCUGAAAUAGUUGUUUAACACAUCAUUAUUUGGAAUUAUCCGUGUGCCAUGAUCAUCAGAUUCAAAUUUUAGGCUGUAACCAAAGGAACCAUAUCUACCUUUAACAACUUUCGUAUCUAACACUUCAAAAACCACACACAAAGCGAAACCACUGAGCCUAUCAUCGCUUAAAAAACUUAAAUCUUCAUUUAUAGUCACUGAAUGUCCCUUCCCACGAAAAUGGAACCAACCAGGAACUGCACUCCCUGGAAAACAGAAGAACACACACCUAUAUCUAUCGUCGGUCAUCCUAAGCCUUGCAUCCUCCUCAAUGUUAGCACGACCACCUGAAUCCAGUUGUUGAGCAUUGGUCAAAAGAAAUUUGAAGAAACCCUCUUUGGAAUUUGACAAGUUUGGAACAAGAGAAUUGGACAUCACUCUUCUAAUGGAUGGGCAAUCCAAUGCCACUAGUUUUUUUAGAAAUGGUGGAAUCUCUGGGAUGCAUUCAAGCUUUUUGCAGUCGCUUAAAUCAAGCGAUUUCAAGCUUGAAAGAUGAGCAACGCUCUCAGGAAGGUUCACAAUUCCGCUAUCACACAGUGACAGUUCCAUUAAUGACGUCAAGCGACCGAUAUCUCUAGGGAUUUCUGUUAAUCUGGCACACCCCGAACAAUCAAGUUUAGAGAGAAGCUUGAGAUUAACAAUGGAGUUUGGAAGUGACUCCAGAUCAGUGCAUUUGCGGAGCUCCAGGGAUCGAAGAUUAACCAAAUUGGCAAAUGAGGAAGGCAGUUCUUUAACAGCCGUACAUAUCAAGUUAAUGUGAUCAAAAGUAGGAGCCGGCUCUGUGAUCUCUGGGAAGGUCCUCAGACUUGAGCAACCACACAAAUCAAGGUUCCUCAACUUCAAAUUGAAAAUGGUGCUUGGAAAAGUUUGUAGUGAACUACAGUGGGUAAGGUCUAACUUGCAUAGUCUGGUGAGGCUUCCAAUGGAAGAUGGAAUAAUCUCAAGAUUGAAGCAACUGCACAAACUCAGUUGUUGAAGCCCUACCAAACGGCACAAGGAUGAAGGUAGUGCCUGUAUGGCUGUGUCGUCUAAGAUGAGCACCACUAGAUCUUCCAACGUGUCCUGAAUCUGGGGUAAAUUUUCCAAUUUUGAGCAACCACGGAGUGAAAGUUGCUUUAGGAACUUCAUAUCAGAAAGGUCAAAUGGAAAGAUUGUAAGGGAAGAACAGUGAGAGAGAUCUAAGUGACAGAGCCUCUUGAGAUUUUGAAAGUUUGAGGGUACACCUUCGAGUAUUGUCGACACUUCACAUUGUGAGUAUAUAGUAUUAUUACCCACUUCUUCUUCGUUAUAUCUGUCAAAACUAAUUGAGGAAAUUUCACUGGAAGUUGGGAAAAUACCUUUAGCAUUAUGGAAUUUAACAGUCCCUCCCAAAAGUAAACUUGAGAAAGUUGGACGUUGACCCUCCAGUUUCACAUGAAGGUAUCUGGGUUGACUGGUUGAAAACAUUUCAAGCUCCUCACAGUGAGAAAGAAUGAUCAAUCCUGGAGAUGUGGAUAAAAUCUUGUUGGGAAUAUUUACACUUUUGAGAUGAUAACAAUGAUCUAAACAUAAACAACUGAGCUUGCUGAGGAAUAUCGAAGAGUGAACUUUAAUCAACUUUUGACAAUAACUCAGAAUUAGUUCUUCAAUAUUCGGUGACAGAGAAAGGUCUGGUAUUCUAGUAAGUUUCAGAGAAUGACUCAGGUUGAGCCUUUUCAAGUUGGGUAAAUUCUGCCACAAAAAGUAAAUGAAUCAGGUAACAAUGAAAAACUAAAAUAAAGUUUUAUGCAAUUUUAUCUAUUUUUCUUCGGUAAACUAUGAGCUACAUCAUCUAUCGAGUUUAUAUUUUACAUAAAACCACUGUUAAAAAAAUCACACUGUUAACUAACAAAAUUAUGGUCACUAUAAAUUUUAUAGUUAUUAUAAAAAUUCACAAAAUUUAACGUGUUUUUGUUCUCUACCUAAAAUUACAUCCUAAUAAUUUGAACCUAAGCUUAUUAUGUAUUGAAAAACUUACUAUAGUAAUUUAUAAUCCAUGACAAUGUCGAAAUACUUUAUACUAUGCAUGUUAAAAUUUGAUAAAAUGUCGAAAUACUGACAAAAUAAAAAUGGUGUUUUCCGAGAGUUAAAAUUAAACUUUAGUUAAAAUAAGUCCAUCUUUACAUAUUUUAUAAUUUGUUGUAUAUUAUAUUGAAGUUGAUGUUAUAAUAAAAAAAUGACUUAAUUAAUCGAAAAAUGUGGAGAAAACACAAAGAAAUUGCAAAUGCUUGUAUAAUUUAUUUUUAUCUUUGAAAGUUUAAAAGACAAAGGAACAUAGAUAACUUGAAAAACCUGAUCUCCUUCCCAGAGUUGUUCAAGACGGCAGCCUGGCAUUUCGAGGAUCACUAGAUUUUGUGGGCAAAAGUUUGGAGGCCAAAAUCUUUGCGGGAAAUCUCUCCAAUAAAGAAACUUUAGAGUGUCUGGCAGACCUACGAGAGAUGAUUCAAGAGACACAUUUGAUAUGUAUUCAGUUGAGUAGAGUAAAAACGUCCAAAGAUCAUCCAACUCUUUACGAGACACAUCUGAUAUGUAUUUAGUUUUAUUUUGCUCGUAUCUAGUAAUAUACACUGUAUUGCAUCUGACCCCUGAAAGUAAAUCAAUGUAAUUAGAAGAAAAAAACAUGAAAUGUUGCAUUGCAGGAUGUUUGAUGACAGCUCAGUGGUUUGCAAUUUUUCACAAAGUAAAUUAAUGACAGGUCAGUAGUUAUAUACCUUAUUCUUUCUUAAAACCUCACAAAUUUCCUCAGCAUUAAACAAUCGGCUGCGUUUUCCAGGAUGCUGAGGACACUCUUUACGAACAAUUUCUUUACCCAUUUCUUCUAUUAGAUCGUGCAUCACAAUUCUACCAUCAAUGACAGAUAUUAGGCCCCUAUCUUUCAGAAUAUCCAUUCCAAUCUUAGAAGAGAAACCAAAGUCAUCAAGUCUUUCUGCUACCUCAAUCUCCUCGUGACCUCUAUAAAAGCAAGCUAUGUCAAGAAAUAUAUUCUUCUCCUCCUCCUCCAGCCCAUCAUAACUUAAUUUUAAUACAUUGAAAAUACCAAGAUGUUGGCCCUUUUUCAACUUUUGCAACUCACUCUCCCAUGCUUCUCUUGUUCUGCCAUAAAGCAAUGACCCCAAAAUCUGGAGAGCUAACGGAAUCCCUUUUGCAUAUCUCAACACCUUUUCUGACAGGUCCAUGUAAGAUUUUUCUGCUGAAGAUUUUUGUUUAAAAGCAUGUAAACUAAAAAGUUUAUGAGAAUCAUCAAAAUUCAACUCCUUAACCUCGUAGAUAUCAUCAGCUCCAGCAUUUCUAAGCACUUGUCUGUCUCUACUGGUCAUAAUGAUUCUACUGCCCUGCCCAAAACUACCACUCCCUCCUAUUAAUUUUUUAAGUAUAGCUGAAUCGGUAACAUCAUCAAGAAUGAGGAUAGCCUUUGUCCGUUUGAGCCUUUCAUUGUAAUAUGAUAAAUCAGGGGAUUUCUUUAUCUCUUCCUUUAGAAGCACAGACAGAUAUUUUCUUCUGAUACUGUCUAUUCCAUCUCUUUGUAUUUUUUCUUGAACGUCUAAAACAAGGCUGCUGGAAUCAAACUGCACUGCCAAUUUCUGAUAUAUUUGAUUACAAAUUGUAGUUUUUCCUAUUCCUCCCAUGCCACAAAUUCCUAUGAUCCGAACAUCCGUUGACUCAAGAUGCAACAAGGACUGAAUUCCUUCAAUAUUUUUUUCAAUGCCGAUGAUUCCUUGAUCAUAACUGGUGGAAUAACGAUUCAAUUUUCUCAAAAUAUCUUCCACAAUUUCUUCAACAAGUGCGUGUUCUGGCCUGGCAGAUGAUUUAGAAAAUAAAGUAUAAGUAUUCAAGCACAAAAGCUAAAGUAAACUAAAGAAAAAUUUUACAGUAACCGUUUGUGACUUCUGAUACUAGGGAGCAGACUUGUAGGUACAAAGUUAAACUAUAAGAUCAGAUAUGGUUCAGAUCCAUGACCGACUAAGAGAAAUGAAAAAAGAAACACUUGAUUUAUGGUGAGAUGAACACAAUUUUAGUAAAUGAAAAGAGAUCCUGAUUAUCUAACAAAUAUAAUGACCUGGUGACUUUUGAAUCCCAGCCUGCAAGUUUAGCAGCUUCAGUUAGAGCAUCCUUCCAUCCUUGCACUUUAUCGUGCUUAAGGUGCUGCUCAUGCUUUUCGAAUGCUUCAUUGUAUCUUUGUUCCUGCUUCCUAAUAGUUGAUGGAUCCACCUUGUAGAAAACAGGUAUGACAUCCCUUCCAAAUCUCUUCUUGCAUUCAAGUAUCUUAGUGAGUUCAUUCAAGCACCAAGUGGAAGAUGCAUAGUCUUGGGAGAAAACGAUGACAUAAAUCUUUGAUUCUUCUAUUGCAGAGAGGAGAGCAGGUGAAAUUUCUUCGCCCCUGUUUAAUCUGUAAUCAAUAUACGCUUCAAUGUUCUUCCUCUGCAGCGCUGCAUAAAGGUGACUAAUGAAGUUGUCACGUGUGUCUUCCCCUCUGAAGCUGAGAAACACAUCAUGCUUUGUUAGAGAAGUAGACACGGGGAAUGAUGAAGAACUUCCUGACAUUGGAAUCAAUUUUCUCUCCUUUCUCUGCAAAUCUCAGAUUCCUUUGUUUGUACCAUUUCUACCUGAAGAAGUGUUUAAAUUUUCUCAAAAUACCUUGCACAGCGUGUUCUGGUCAGACAUAAAGAAAAAGACAAAUAUUAAGUUAAUAGAAUAGUCAACAAUUUAAAAAAUAAGUAUGAAAUAUAGAUAUAUAUCAUUAUCACGUGUGGAAGCUACGUCGUCUUGUAUUGGAUUUUCUAAUCUGCCUUUUAUCUUGUCUCAUUCUUCUUUAUCUUUUUUCUCUCAUCUCUCUUGCUUACGAUUUCUUUGCCUUUAUUCAGAAAUUUUAUUUAUAAUAAACCUUCAAUAAUAUUUGUACUUUCUAGCAUAUAGAAUACUUAAUGGAUCCUUUUCUGAUUUUUCUUUUCUAAAGUGCAAUUGAUAUUUUAAAUGUUUUUCUAUUUAAUUUUCCUUUCUUAAUGACACAUAAAAUGGUUCAGUGCACAAUUAAUUACUCUCACCUUAGAUUUCAUUCAUCUCAUUCCAUUUCCACACUCAAAUCAUUCUCACAUUUGUUUCUACCUGUUUCACAAAGUUUUAGUUAAAAUAUGGAAAUUAAUGUUCAAGAACCCUACUUAAUAUUAAUAUUCAACAAUUUAAAAUAUUAAAAUGCAAAUUAAUCUUUCUUAAUAAUGUCAUUUUUAUGUAAAAAAUAAAAUGUAGUUUAGUCAUUUAUACUUAGAUGGAUAAAGAUGGUUUUAGAAAAAAAAAUGCAUUUUAUUUCAAAGGUUAUCUAAGCUCUGAACUCAUUUAUGAAUUAAUAAUAAUAAAUAAUAUGUAAUUGUAUUCCAAUACCAUAUAAUUUUUUUUAUUGGGUGCGUUUCUGAUGAAUUAAUUAAUGCACUCUAGGGACAAUGAUCGCUCUAGUAUUUGAUUUUUUUAUUUAUUUUAAUGUUGAAAUUAUAGCUAUUUAGUACAGAUACUAUUGACACCGACACAGAUACGACACAGACACAGAGAUACUUAAAAUCUCUAAAAUGUAAGAUACAGAGACAUUAAUCUAUAUAUUAUAUAAUUAUGAAUUAUAUAAAUUAACAAUAAAGACUUAUGUGCACAAGUAUUUUGGAGAUUAUUUUUUAAGCAGAAAUAUGUUUUUCAUGACUGUUUCACAAAGAUUUGUUUCUUAUUUUUAUAAUCAUAAUAACAAUUUAUACCAUAAAGUUUGAAUUUUAGAAAAUUAAUGUAUUUUUUCUUUUUAAAAUUCCGUUAGAAUCGUACUAAAAUUGUAAAAAAUCUAACAAAUACAUUUUGAAUUGGACAUUUCACAAAUACAUGUCCUACCAGUAUCAUACGAAUGUAAACAAAAUUCUUUCUUCAUAUGCCGCAUUCUUUUACUGUGAUAACUCAUUUCAACUCUCUCACAACUGAUUCGUAAUCUGUGGGAUGCAUUAAAGCCUUUUGCAGUUAAAUCAAUAGUAUAUGAUGAUGUGAAUGUUAUUUAUAUACUAAAUAUAAUCACAUAGUAACUUCAAAUUUGAUAAGGUACAACAUGUUACCAUAUCUCUUUUAAUUUCUUUUAUUUCAUUAUAUAUUUAGGUGUAUUUAAUUUCUUUUUAUUUCAUUGUGUAUUUAGGUGUAUUACGUAAAAUAUAUAAUUAAAAAGAAAGAAGAAUAAUGUUAUUUUUAAAUUUAAAGAAUGACAUAUAGAAAUAAACAAGCUAUUUUGAAAUUUUUAGAUUUUACAAAACAUUACAUUUUGAUUUUAAUAUUUAUAAAAUAUUUUUUAAUUUCAUAUUUAAAACACAACACUUAGUUGAGUGUGUUCCUUAGUUACUUACCAAAUAACAACAUACAUCUUAUCGGGUCUUUUUGCGACCCGACCCAAACUCAUCUCGAUCCUAGUAGGGUUCGCAUCAUCUUCAAUUGAGGAGUAGAUUUGUCAGGAGGAAAAUAAAUUGAUUUAUAAGAACAUGUGAAGUUGUUUAGAUUGAGGAAUAAUAGAUGGAUUUUGAUUAUGAUUUAUGGUAAGUUUAAAAAAAAUAGAUUUGUUUCUUUUAACAUUUUUUGUAUUAUAAUUAUUUGCUGGCUGAAUUGUUUUGAGUUAACAUGUUUUCUUGGGGUAUGAUAUUGUGAGGUUUUAUUACAUGCAGGUACGUGAAUAUUUUUUUUAUUCUAGUUGUAUAAAUCAGGAAAAAAUGUUUUUCACAAUAUAAUUAUAAUAACCGUUUAACAACCUAAAUAAUAAUAAAAUAUUAACUCAUAUUAUUUAAUUAAAUUAUUAAAUAAAAAGUAGUAAAACUGAUUGUAGGAUGGGAAUAUGAUUAUUUUUAACUGCUAGCUCCUCAUUAUUCUUUUAUAAUAAAAAACACACUAGUAGGUGUUGAAAAUCGUAAUAUAACAAACAAGUUUUGACACACGUAGGUUUGGCAAUUGUUUUAAUAGCUGAAAAUAGUAAAACAAUUUUUAAUUACCACAAACUGCAUCUUAAAUCAUAAAAAAUAGCAUUUUUUAGUUCAUAUAUAAUAACAUUUCCAUAAAUAAAUCUCCCGCCGCCAUUGAUAUUAAUCAUUAAUAAUUUUAGAUAAUAUUUUUUACUAUAAAACAUUUAAUUGAGAUUGAAUUUUUAAUUCACACUUUUUGGUCAAAGAAUAAUAUAUUUCAUUUUUUUAUUUAUUAAAUAUUUUGUAUAAUGCUGAGAAAAAAAAAUCUCACACACACACACACAUAUAUAUAUAUAUGAUCCCUAUGUCCUACAAGUACAAUAUAACAUCGUUAGUAUAAUGAAUAAAAAUAAUGAGUAUUCAAAGUCGUGUAUUUACGUAAAAGAAUAACAUGAUUUUUAAAAGAACUCACAUUAUCAGUUUAAAUUUUGACGAUAAAAUACAUUAAUUAUAUAUAUUUAUUCAAAAUUUCAAUUAUAUUAUGCAUUAAUGGUUUUAUGCUUUUAGAGGAAUCAGAGAAACUUAGAAAAGCUUAAUGAAACCCUAUGAAUAAAGGAGAUGUAAAAGAAAGAGAAAAAGGAAGUGAGAAAAGAUGAUAAUUAAUAAACACCCACUCUUCAUAACAUAGAGUCUUUAAACCUAUAUUCCCUCAAACAGCAUUUAUAAGUUAUUAUCACCCACAUGGAAUAAGGUGCCUCAAUGUGAACAAACCAAGAUCAGUAAGAAAUAUGAGGUUCAAAUAACGAAGCUGAGAAUUUUCUGGUUUUACAGCUCCAUGCACAAACCUAAUACAAUGAUAUGAUAUUCCAUAGGAUGGAGAAAAGUAUGAUAUGAAGAGGAUUUACCAAUUACCCUUUCGAAUGCAGCUCCUCAGGAUUCCAUCAUGCCUUCACUGCACAUGCAACCCAAAUAUGCUAAAGAAGUUAAUCAAACCCAAAUAUAAAGAAUUUCUAGAGAAUGCAACUCUGGGACAACAGAGUACCCCAUCUCAAGCUGAACAGAAACAUUAAACUAUAUCUAACAAUAACUUAGAAAUCUUUGUCAACAAUGAACGAAUCCAACCGUAAAAUGCCAUUGAAAAUGUAAAUAAAACAAAAUAAAUUAGAUAUGAGAAAUUCAUGAUAAAAUUUCAACACUUGUAAUGUAGAAGCAUUACGAUAAGCCAGUUUUGAUCCUCACCAAUGAAAGUCUAAUUAGCAGAAGAGGAAGAGACUAGUUGACUGGGUAGCUUUCUGCAAUGCCUAUUUUAAGGUUACGCUUCCGGCAAAAAUAUAAUAGAAGACUGCUCUCAUGUCAAAGUUUCUCAUACAUAGAACAACCCGCAAAAGAGAUUAAACAUUCCAAAAGAUGUCUCAACAGAAAUGAAAUGAGAUCCUAACAACUUGUUGGGAAAGUACUAUUUUGCCUUCAAUUCCAUUACUUCCUUUUGCCUUUAAGAGUGCAGUCAUAAUCAUCAAAAUACUUAGACUUUGUGAUAUGUCUUUUGGGCUUGCUAUUCAUCUUUUGUUGCCUCCUCUUGAGCCAUAACACUUUUGGCCUUCCUCUUCCUAUAUUCCCUUGUGUCUCUUGAAGACUGUGCAACAUUACUUCGACUGGAUUAUUCAAUGUGAACAGCACCACCAUAUUCAUCAUCUUUCUUUUUGGAAUAAAGAGGGCAUAUGCCGCAUUCUUUUACUCUGAUAUCGGGCCACCAAUGGCUGAUCUCAAAAGUGAAGCUGCGAGCAUCACAGAGCCUAAGGCUCAUGCCGCUUGCCCUUAGGGACUCCAAGUUAAAUUUCCACACAAAUGUGUGAUCUUUAUCAAGAAAUCUGCCUGCAUCCGUCAAGUUUAACACAUCAUUAUUUGGAAUGAUCUGUGUGCCAUCAUCAUCAGAUUCAAAUUUUAGGCUGUAACCAAAAGAACUAUAUCUACCUUUAAUAUCAUUCGUAUCUAACACUUCAAAAACCACGCACAAAGAGAAACCAGUGAGCCUAUUAUCGCUGCAAAAACUUAAAUCUUCAUUUAUAGUCACUGAAUGUCCCUUCCCACGAAAAUGGAACCAACCAGGAACUGCACUCCCUGGAUAACAGAAGAACACAGACCUAUAUGCAUCGUCGGUCAUCCUAAGCCUUGCAUCCUUCUCAAUGUUAGCACGACCACCUGAAUCCAGUUGUUGAGCAUUGGUGAAAUGAAAUUUGAAUACACCCUCUUUGGAAUUUGAGAGGUUCCGAACAAGAGAAUUUGACAUCACUUUUCUAAUGGAUGGGCAAUCCAAUGCCACGAGUUGUUUUAGAAAUGGUGGAAUCGGUGGGAUGCAUUCAAGCUUUUUGCAGUCGCUUAAAUCAAGCGAUUUCAAGCUCGAAAGAUGAGCAAUGCUCUCAGGAAGGUUCACGAUUCCGCUAUCACGCAGUGACAGUUCCAUUAAUGACGUCAAACGACCAAUGUGCCUUGGGAUUUCUGUUAAUUUGGCACACCCCGAACAAUCAAGUUUAGAGAGAAGCUUCAGAUUAACAAUGCAGUUUGGAAGUGACUCGAGAUCAGUGCAUUUGCGGAGCUCCAGGGAACGAAGAUUAACGAAAUUGGCAAAUGAGGAAGGCAGUUCUUUAACAGUCGUAGAUGUUAAGUUAAUGUGAGCAAAAGUAUGAGCCGACUCCGUGAUCUCUGGGAAGGUCCUCAGCCUUGAGCAACCACGCAAAUCAAGGUUCCUCAACUUCAAAUUGAAAAUGGUGCUUGGAAAAGUUUGAAGUGAAUUACAGUGGGCAAGGUCUAACUUGCAUAGUCUGGUGAGGCUUCCAAUGGAAGAUGGAAUAAUCUCAAGAUUGAAGCAACUGUGCAAACUCAGUUGUUGAAGCCCUACCAAACGGCACAAGGAUGAAGGUAGUGCCUGUAUGGCUGUGUCGUCUAAGAUGAGCACCGCUAGAUCUUCCAACGUGUCCUGAAUCUCGGGUAAAUUUUCCAGUUUUGAGCAACCACUGAGACAAAGUUGCUUUAGGAAUUUCAUAUCAGAAAGGUCAAACGGAAAGAUUGUAAGGGAAGAACAGUCAGAGAGAUCUAAGUAACAGAGGUUCUUGAGACUUUGAAAGUUUAAGGGCACACCUUCCAAGAGACUGUUGAACACCUCUGAGUCUUCUGAGUCUGUAGCAUUAUUAGCCACUUCUAUAUUAUAUCUGUCAAAAGUAAUUGACAAAAUUUCACUGCUUGGGGAAAUUUCACUGGAAGUUGGGAAAUUUAUCUCUUUCGUCAUAUCCAGUUCCUGACGCUCCAGUAUGACAUGAGGGAGAAAUUUAUCUUCAUGUUUACUGAUUGAAAACAUAUUAAGCUUCCGACAAUGGGAAAGAGUAAUCCAUCCUGGUGAUGUGGAUAAAAUGUUGCUCGGAAUAUUUACACUAUUCAGAUCAUCACAAUGAUCUAAACAUAAACAACUGAGUUUGCUGAGGAAUAUCGAAGAGUGAAUUUCAAUCAACUUUUUACAAUAACUCAGAAUUAUUUUUUCAAUAUUUGGUGACAUAGAAAGGUCUGGUAUUCUAGCAAGUUUCCAAGAACGUGUCAGGUCGAGCCUUUUCAAGUUGGGUAAAUUCUGCCACAAAAAGUAAAUGAAUCAGGUAACAAAUAAUAACUACUUUAUCUAUUUUUCUUCCUAUUUAAACUAUUAGCUACUACUAUUGAGUUUAUAUUUUACAUUACUUAAAAACCACUGUUAAAAAAGCCACACUGUGGACUAACAAAAUUAUAUUUUAAAAUAUUAUUAAAGAUAAAAUAUGAAGAUAGGGUAAUUAAAUUAAAUAUAAUUUUUAUUUUUCAGAAAUGAUGAAAAUUAUAAUUAAAUUAACUAAAUUAUAUAAAAUUCCAUUUUAUUUACAUAACUCCUUUUCAUAUUAAAAAACUAUAUAAGAUCUUGAAACUAUAAUUAAUAUCUUAAAAAUUUAAAUAAUAAUAAUUAUUUCUACUCAUCCUUAAUUUUUGUUGGUGAAAUCUUGAUUUUUGGGAUAAUAUCACUUAAACUUAAGAAAUAUUUGACAUUAAUGAACUCUAAACAAAUUUAUAUAAGAAAUCAAGACAUCACUUUCAAUCCGAAAUCUUAAACUAAUAGGUUUAUGGAUUUUCUUUAUAUGUUGUUCAUCUUACCAAUUUGAACCCAAUGCGAGACUUUCAACUCUAAGAGAUGAAGUGGUGUACUUUAUGCUUCUAGGACUUGUUAGAUAUUGAAACAUGUACCAUUGCUAAAAUGUUUGAAUGAAGGAGAAGUCAAAGUCUCUCUCCUUUAGAGAUAUUCGCUCAAGUGGCAAGAGGUUGAUUAAGCAAGAGAGAGAUCGUAUUAAUUCUCUCUUCUAUGCAAUUGUUGUCGUUCAAACAAUGUGGAAUCAUUCAAGCAAAGAAAUCUUCUUUUGGGUUAGGAAACAAGGUUUUUCAAGCGAGAUAAACUCGUCUAAAGAAUUUAACUCUAGUAGUGAAAUGUUGUUGCCAUGAUUUAGCCAAGUGUUUGUAUCUAUGAGGCUAAUGAUGAUGAUGACGAUGAUAAGAUGCAUGAAUGUGUAUACACAAGUGUAUGAUAUACCUCAUGUUAUAUAUUGUAUGUGAUUCAAUUGAUGACCAUUUAUUUUUAGGCCAUUUAUAUGUAUAUUUUGGCCCUUUUAUGAGUAUGUGACGAGAUAUACCUAAGAUUGUAUUAUGAUCCUAAUGAGUCGAAGUAUCAAACACAAAACUCAUUAUGGAAAAAAAAAGAUAUUUUGUGCAUCAGUUAUGAUAUGAUCACAACAAUUAAAGCAUGUGUGAACGGUUAAUAUUGUUCUUAAUAAGAAAACAAAUAAUAUUGUAUGUGACAUUAGAGAUGUCAAAUAGGUUUAGAAAAUUAUUAAGUUUAAUUAUCUUUUUAGUCUUUAUAUUAAUGACCAAAAGUCAAUUCAGAUUUUUAGAAAGUUCAAUAUGAUUUAAUUUUUUAAAAAACAAUUCAAUGUGAUUCCUUCUAGUAUAUUUCCCUUAUUAAAAUAUUUUUAUCUUAAUGAUUCUGCCACUGUUAAGUUAUAUGUGUUGUUAUCACAUUGAAUUGUUUUAAAAAAAUUUGGAACCACCACAUUAAAUUGUUUUAAAAAGUUAGUACUAAAUUGAACUUUUGAAAAUUGGGAGAAUGAAAUUAAAUUUUGUCUAUUAAUACAGGGACAAAAAAUAAUUGAAUCAAAUAUUUUACUAUUUUUGUGAUGUAUAUUUAUAUAUAAAUAAUUUUGAGAAUUUAGAGUUACAAUGUGUUAUAUCAUAUAUAUAUAAUUCUUUUUGGUAAUGUAUCCUGUAGUUGUAAGCAAGUAUGAUUAUAUUAAGUGGGGCGUUUCAAAUAGUGGAGACUACGCAUAUACAAAUAUCUCUUAUAAAGUAAGAAAACAAAACAAUCGUUACUCAAGAAGAUCAUGCAAUGCAUCACAGACAACAUGGGAGAUAUAUAUCAACAAUAAUAUGAGUAAAUAAUACAUUCAUGGGCCAUUAGACGAUAUGCCUAAAAAAAAUAUGCAAACUAUUAAAUUUAUAAUUAUUUUUAAUUAGAAACAUGCUGAGUAUGACUCUUAUGAUAUAUGUAUAACUGUGUGCUUCAAAUAAAAGAAAUUUCAAAUCGAAUAAUGUGGAGAAGGCACAAAGGAAUUGCAAAUGAAAACCUGUAGAUGUAUAAUACACAAAACAUGCUUGUCUAAUUUAUUUUUAUCUUUGAAAGUUUAGAACACAAAGGAACAUAGAUAACUUGAAAAACCUGAUCUCCUUCCCAGAGUUGUUCAAGAUCGCAGUAUGGCAUUUCGAGGAUCACUAGAUUUUGUGGGCAAAAGUUUGGAGGCCAGAAUCUUUGAAGGAAACCGUUCCAAUAAAGAAACUUUAGAGUGUCCGGCAGACCUACAAGAGAUGAUUCAAGAGACACUUUUGAAUUCAAUCUAGGCAUGUAGACCAUAAGCAUCAUAAGAUUGUCCAUCUUUUCGAAACUUUGUGCAUGUACUACAGCAUCUUUUACUUUGUUCGUAUGAUAUUGAUAUACACUGUAUUGCAUCUGACCCCUGAAAGUAAAUCAAUGUAAUUAGAAAAAAAAACAUGAAAUGUUGCAUUUCAGGAUGCUUAAUGACAGCUCAGUAGUUUUCUAUUUUUCACAAAGUAACAACAGCAUAUACCUUGUUCUUUCUUAAAACCUCACAAAUUUCCUCAUCAUUAAACAAUCGGCUGCGUUUUCCAGGAUGCUGAGGACACUCUUUACGAACAAUUUCUUUACCCAUUUCUUGUAUUAGAUCGUGCAUCACAAUUCUACCAUCAAAGACAGAGAUUAGACCCCUAUCUUUGAGAAUAUCCAUUCCAAUCUUAGAAGAGAAACCACAGUCAUCAAGUGUUUCUGCUACCACAGUCUCCUCUUGCCCUCUAUAAAAGCAAGCUAUGUCAAGAAAUAUAUUCUUCUCCUCCUCCUUGAGCCCAUAAUAACUUAAUUUUAAUACGUCGAAAGUUCCAAGAUCUUGGCCGUUUUCCAACUUUUGCAACUGACUCUCCCAUGCUUCUCUUGUUCUGCCAUAAAGCAAUGACCCCAAAAUCUGGAGAGCUAACGGAAUUCCUUUUGCAUAUCUCAACACCUUUACUGACAGGUCCAUGUAAGCAAUUCCUUCUGAAGAUUUUUGUUUAAAAGCAUGUAAACUAAAAAGUUUCAGAGAAUCAUAAAAAUUCAACUCCUUAACUUCGUAGAUAUCAUCAGCUCCAGCAUUCUUAAGCACUUGUCUGUCUCUACUGGUCAUAAUGAUUCUACUGCCCUGCCCAAAACUAUCACUCCCACCUAUUAAUUUUUGAAGUUGAGUUGAAUCGGUAACAUCAUCAAGAAUGAGGAGAACCUUUGUCCGUUUGAGCCUUUCAUUGUAAUAUGGUAAAUAAGAGGAUUUCUCUUCCUUUAGAAGCUCAGACUGAUAUUUUGUUCUGAUACCGUCUAUUCCAUCUCUUUGUAUUUUUUCUUGAACGUCUAAAACAAGGCUGCUGGAAUCAAACUGCAAUGCCAAUUUCUGAUAUAUUUGAUCACAAAUUGUAGUUUUUCCUAUUCCUCCCAUGCCACAAAUUCCUAUGAUCCGAACAUCCGUUGACUCAAGAUGCAACAAGGACUGAAUUCCUUCAAUAUUUUUUUCAAUGCCGAUGAUUCCUUGAUCAUAACUGGCGGAAUAACGAUUCAAUUUUCUCAAAAUAUCUUCCACAAUUUCUUCAACAAGUGCGUGUUCUGGCCUGGCAGAUGAUUUAGAAAAUAAAGUAUAAGUAUUCAAGCACAAAAGCUAAAGUAAACUAAAGAAAAAUUUUACAGUAACCGUUUGUGACUUCUGAUACUAGGGAGCAUACUUGUAGGUACAAAGUUAAGCUAUUGUGUGAUAUGGUUCAGAUCUAUGACCGACUAAUAGAAAUGAAAAAAGAAGCACUUGAUUUAUGGUGAGAUGAACACAAUUUUAGUAAAUGAAAAGAGAUCCUGAUUAUCUAAUAAAUAUAAUGACCUGGUGACUUUUGAAUCCCAGCCUGCAAGUCCAGCAGCUUCGGUGAGAGCAUCCUUCCAUCCUUGCACUGUGUCGUGCUUAAAGUGCUGCUCAUGCUCAUUGAAUGCUUCUUUGUAUCUUUCUUCCUGCUUCCUAAUAGUUGAUGGAUCCACCUUGUAGAAAACAGGUAUCACAUCCCUUCCAUAUCUCUUCUUGCAAUCAAGUAUCUUAGUGAGUUCAUCCAAGCACCAUGUGGAAGAUGCAUAGUUUUUGGAGAAAACGAUGACAUAAAUCUUUGAUUCUUCUAUUGCAGAGAGGAGUACAGGUGAAAUUUCUUGGCCCCUGAGUAAUCUGUAAUCAAUAUAUGCUUGAAUGUUCUUCCUUUGCAGCGCUGCAUAAAGGUGACUAAUGAAGUUGUCACGUGUGUCUUCCCCUCUGAAGCUGAGAAACACAUCAUGCUUUGUUAAAGAAGCAGACAUGGCCAAUGAUGAAGGGUUUCAAUGUUCUCUGCAACUCUCAGAUCCCUUUGUUUGUAAGCAACUUCCAUAUAUUCUAUUAGGAAGGAAAAUAUAUAUUUCUACCAUUCCUACCACAAAUUGAAAAAGCCUUUCAAUUUUCUCAAAAUAUCUUUCACAGCUGUGUUCUGUCAGAUACGAAACAUUGAGUCAAUGGAAGAGUCAACAAUUGGCAGAAUAUUAUGGUGUGUAGCUUUAUACCAUUCUUACAAUAUUUGAUUGGUUGAAUAUAUACAAUAUGACUAAUGAACUUUUUUCUUUUCCGUAUUCCACGAUAAUUCCCUAGGCACCCUAUUAUACACUUUCUUAUCAACGGAAACCAUGUCUGUCCUUUUAUAGUUUUAAUCCUAUAAUAUCUUUCCAUUAAUCAUCAUUAUCACUCUUCAACCUUCAUAUCAAGUGUAUUGAUUUCAUACUUCAUCAGCUAGACAUAAUAAAAUCUCAAUAAUCUUUUAUACUGUCAACAUUUAUAAAAAAUAUUUCCUUCAAUAAUAUUUGUACUUUCUAGCAUAUAGAAUACUUAAUGGAUUCUUCUGUGAUUUUUCUUUCCUAAAGUACAAUUGAUAUUUUAACAGAUGCCGAAAGGUCUUGAAUAUGAGGCUGUUUCGAAAUGAAAAUUGGGGUAAAGCAUUUUCAAGUUAACAAGUUUUGUUGGGUGAGUGAGUGAUCAGUGCUAGCAUUUUCAAUCUCAGUUAUAGAAUGUAAAGAUUUACACAUUUAUUUGCUGAUUAAUAAUUUAUUUAUUGAAUUAAAUGUUUUAACAGUGAGUAUGGAUUCUUGAAUGAAUGUAAUCAUGGUGUAGAAUGUACAUAGUACAUAUAGUGAGUUGGAUUGAAAUGUUGAACACGUUUUCCUCUGCAAAGAUUCAGGAUAUUUAUGAACUUGCUAUAAAUUGUUUUAACUUUUCUCUGCAACUCUCAGUCCCUUUGUUUCUACCAUUUUGUUUUUGAAAAGCCUUUCAAUUUUCUCAAAAUAUCUUUCACUGCUGUGUUCUGUCAGAUACGAAACAUUGAGUCAAUGGAAGAGUCAACAAUUCGUAGAAUAUUAUAUUAUGGUGUCAAUAUUUAAUAAAUUUAUUUAUUUCUUUAACAUAUUUUAGAAAAUAACCAGUAAACAUAAAACUUUUAGUAUGACUAAAAGAAUAAAGAUAGUGUAAGAAUAACAGGAAUAACAUUACUACAAAUAACAAUAUAUUAAUAUUAAUAUGUUUCUUAAUAAAUUUUACACCCACUGUCUAUUUAUAAAUUAAUAUAUUAUAAACAUCUAUUGAUUUUUUGUGGGUAGCUUAUUUCUGUAACAUUUUAAAUUAAUUUUUUAGAUUUUACAAAACAUUACAUUUUGAUUAUAAUAUUUAGGACUGUGAUGCAAUUUCUGCAAUGAAGGCUGGCAGACUAAGUUUCUCCAAGCCCAAUUAAUACUGGGUUGAAAAUUCUGAGAAGAGGGUGAGUAUGAUGCUGCGGUCAUGAUCUAUGUAUUAAAGUGUUAAGGCAUGGGUUUGGUUGACAGGACAAUACUGGUUUUUCAUUGCUACUACUUAAUAUGAUUCUUUCUUACUGCUAUAUGAAUUUGCUGUCAAAUAGCAGUAAAUAAAAGACUUCAAAUAAAGCAUGUGUUUAUCAUACAUGGACUAAUGCAGCAGUUUUAGUAGAAGGGGCUAAUAUGAUUUUAAUCUAGAACAAGAUGGCUAAACCCAAAGAUGGUGGGAAUAAUAUCCUCAAAUCAAUUGUUUUGGUUUUCAGUGUAAUGUCAUUUGUAAGUAUCAAAAUUUGUUUGUUAUCACAUUGGAAGGUAGUAUCUGUCAUGAAAUUUGUGGAAGACCUUUACCUAUGUUUGCUUUGGGUCUGUUUUACGCCCUCUCGAAUUAAGUAAAUUUUUAAUUGCCAUCAUGAAAUUAGGCUAAAUAUGUGUAGUUUUGAGCACUUUCUUUCUUCCAUUUCAAUUCAUAGUUUCAUACAUAUUCAAUAUCAUGUGGGAAUUAAGUUCUUGCUUUUAAGGUGAAUAACAGUUUGUAUUCUUGCAGAAAACUAUUUUCUAAUGCAUAUAAAUUUCAUUUUCUAUUUUCAGCAUUGGAUUAUGUUAUGUAAUUUUUCCUUUGUAUUAUACAGAGUAGGAUUUUAAUGUUUCUACUGAACAGUGCUAUCUUUUUUCGUCCAUAUUCUGAUUUUGUUCAAUUUUUUUCAGUAUGUGCCACAUGCAGAUCAGAUGUAAGGAAUUUUCUAAAUUUUUUUUCAAGCUUUCUUGUUUGCUUAAAGUUUUCUGUAAGUAUUUAACUGUCUUAAGUUGUUAAUGAGGACUAAGGACUGAAAAAGAGAAUUAGCCAUGACAUGGUGGCAUUAUCCUUCUUCAAAACCAUUAGUUUUUUUUCCUACAAAGAUACAUGUCAAGAAAGCAAACCAGGAACAAAAGUGAUGUUUAUGAUUGCUUUCUCUCUUGUUUACUUGCUUUCUUUUUGUUGGACAAUUGUCUUAAUUGCAUUCACACCUAACCUGCAGUAGUUUCAGUCCCUUUGGGGUUGUCAUAAUUGCAGCCUCAAGAGUGGUGGUGUAGUCCAACAUCAACCAGUGAUAUAGUUCAAAUAUAGCAUAUACAUGAAAGUCGUGUUGAUAAUCAAAGGUUGCUUCAUCUUAACUAAUAACAUGUAAAUGUCAUUUGAAUGGUUAAAAAGGAAUUCACCAGUGUAACACAAAAUGAAUGGAUUGCUUGGUUAUGUGUCAACUGUUGUACUUUUUUUGAGUUGCUUGAAAAUAAUUAAAAUUUGUUUUCAUCUAGAUCUUGGUUUUUUCCUAUGAUCAAAUCUCGAUUUAUUUCUGUGCAGAACUUUCUUGUGGACAUAAAAGGACCAGCUAUAGCAUUUUUACCGGUGCUUGCAUUUGAAGGAGGAACUAGAAGAAAUAUACCUAGGUUUGAGGUGUGUAUAAAUUAUUUUUGAUGUAUUUCGUGAUGUAGAUGUAAAAUAAUGCAAUACUUUGUUUUUAGUUUCAAUGUUACUCUUUAUCUGCAGGUUGGAAACAUAUCUUGAUGAAAUAUAGAAACAUUUUUAUUCAUAAUAUAUAUAUAAGGAUUACACAUUCAUAAUUAUUUCUUUCUGUCGUAGCAUUGUCUACCUCAAAUCACUGCAACUUUCUGUUGUUGGUAUAAAAAUACAAUAUUUUAAUCCCAGUUUUGAUAGCCUCUAUUCUUCAGUGGUUGAGAUAUUUUUUAUAAGAAUUUAGAAGUUCUGAGAUAUUUAUGAUAAGAAUUUCAAGUUCUUUGUUACUAGCAGUUUAAUGGUUAUAUCAUUUUUGUUCUCUGGAAAAUAUCUUAUACAAAAUCGGUACUUAGAUUUGGUAUUUAUAUUGUUCAUAUGUAGAAAUCUAAUACUAGCAAAUUUUGUCUAAUUUAAAAGCAAUUACAUUCUACUCUUUGGAAUAUGUUCUGGCCUGCUUUUAUGAAUUAUUUGAAAAUUUGUAAUUAUAAAAUUUAGUCUUUGAAAUUAUAAAUUUAAUAGAGAAGCAUCCAUACUAAACUUUUAUAUUAUAAAUUGUCAGUUUUAUAUUGAAAACAUAUCCCCUUUAGUAUAAGACUUAAAGGAGAUGUCUUUUGGUAUAAAAACUGAAAUAAAAAAUAUUUUAACUAUAUGGGUCAAAUGGAUGAUUAAACUUAUAAAAUGUACAAUUAAACUUAUAAAUUAUAAUAAACGAUACUUUAAUUUUAAACUAUAUUGAACUUUUAUUAAUGUUCUCGCUUUUCUUUAAAAGCUAUUGAACUCUAUCUAACAAUAACUUAAAAAUGAGAAAUUCAUGAUAAAAUUUCAACACUUGUAAUCUAGAAGUAUUACGAUAAGCCAGAAGAGGAAGAGACUAGUUGACUGGGUAGCUUUCGGCGUUCCUCUUCCUAUCUUCCCCUGUUUCUCCUGAAGAGUGUGCAACAUUGCUUCCACUGAAUUCUUCAAUGUCAUUUUCUGAUGCAGAAUAGUCAACAGCACCACCAUAUUUAUCAUCUUUCUUUUUCGUAUAAAGAGGGCAUAUGCCGCAUUCUUUUAUUCUGAUACCUGAUUUCAACUCUCUCUCAACUGAUUCGUAAUCUGGCCGAUUUGGCCGCAGAAAGGGAUCAUACGGACUGAUCUCAAAAGUGAAGCUGCGAGCAUCACACAGCCUAAGGCUCAUGCCGCUCGCCAUUAGGGACUCCAAGUUAAAUUUCCACACGAAUGUCCCUUCACCAUCCCAUUUGAAAUAGCUAUUUAACACACCCUUAUAUGGAAUGAUCUGUGUGCCAUCAUCAUAUUCAAAUUUUAGGCUGUAACGAAAAGAACCAUAUCCACCUUUAAUAUCUAACACUCCAAAAGCUACACACAAAGCGAAACCAGUGAGCCUAUCAUCGCUGCAGAAACUUAAAUCUUCAUUUAUAGUCACUGAAUGUCCCUUCCCACGAAAAUUGAACCAACCAGGAACUGCACUCCCUGGAAAACAGAACAACACACACCUAUAUGUAUCGUCGAUCAUCCUAAGCCUUGCAUCCUCCUCGAUGUUAGCACGAGCACCUGAAUCCAGUUGUUGAGCAUUGGUGAAAUGAUAUUUGAAGACACCCUCUUUGGAAUUUGACAAGUUUGGAACAAGAGAAUUUGACAUCACUCUUCUAAUGGAUGGGCAAUCCAAUGCCUCGAGUUGUUCUAGAAAUGGUGGAAUCGGUGGAAUGCAUUCAAGCUUUUUGCAGUCGCUUAAAUCAAGUGAUUUCAGGCUUGAAAGAUGAGCAAUGCUCUCAGGAAGGUUCACGAUUCCGCUAUCACGCAGUGACAGUUCCAUUAAUGACGUCAAGCGACCGAUGUGUCUUGGGAUUUCUGUUAAUUUGGCACACCCCGAACAAUCAAGUUUAGAGAGAAGCUUCAUAUUAACAAUGGAGUUUGGAAGUGACUCGAGAUAAGUGCACUCUUGGAGUUCCAGGGAUCGAAGAUUAACCAAAUUGCCAAAUGAGGAAGGCAGUUCUUUAACAGCCGUACAUGUCAAGUCAAUAUGAGCAAAAGUAUGAGCCGGCUUCAUGAUCUCUGGGAAGGUCCUCAGCCUUGAGCAACCACCCAAAUCAAGCUUCCUCAAUUUCAAAUUGAAAAUGGUGCUUGGAAAAGUUUGAAGUGAAUUACAGUAGGUAAGGUGUAACUUGCAUAGUCUGGUGAGGCUUCCAAUGGAAGAUGGAAUAAUCUCAAGAUUCAAGCAACUGUGCGAACUCAGUUGUUGAAGCCCUACCAAACGGCACAAGGAUGAAAACUUAUUUUAUUUUUGCUGUUCAUGCAUAACAUUAACAAAUAUUGACAUGAGAGAUUGUGUUUGUAGGCUUCUAAGCUCACCAACGUGUCCCGUUCUUGAUGCUUUAGGGAAGAAAAUUUCCUUUGAGAUUGCAAAAGGACUCAGGAGAAUUUAGAAGUUCUGAGAUAUUUAUGAUAAGAAUUCAAGUUCUUUGUUACUAGCAGUUUAAUGGUUAUAUCAUUUUUGUUCUCUGGAAAAUAUCUGAUACAAAAUUGGUACUUAGAUUUGGUAUUUAUAUUGUUCAUAUGUAGAAAUCUAAUACUAUAGCAAAUUUUAUCUAAUUUAGAAGCAAUUAUAUUCUACUCUUUGGAAUAUGUUCUGGCCUGCUUUUAUGAUUGUAAUUAUAAAUUUAAUAGAGGAGAUUACCAAACAUCCAUACUAAUUAAACUUUUAUAUUAUAAAUUUUUUCAGUUUUAUAUUGAAAACAUAUCCCUUUAGUAUAAGACUUAAAGGAGAUGUCUUUUGGUAUAAAAACUGAAAUAAAAAAUCUUUUAACUAUAUGGGUCAAAUGGAUGAUUAAACUUAUAAAUGUACAAUUAAACUUAUAAAUUGUAAUAAACGAUACUUUAAUUUUAAACUCUAUUGAACUUUUUUUAAUGUUCUCGCUUUUCUUUUAAAUGCAUUUCACUUGUGUGUUUUGUAUUCAGGCUGAUUUUAACUUUAUUCUCAAAUAUACAAAAUAAUUUUUGGUAAUUAUCUUGUGUCGAUCUUGACUUGUAGUAUCAAUGUGAAAUAUGUAAUAAUUACUUUUCUAUGAUUCAGAGGGAAAAUUAUUCCAACUAGACUUUUACAAAUAUAUUUCAAGUGGUAAUAUGAUUUUAAAAAAAAUAGGAUUCGCCACAAAAAAAAGUUACUGUUCCUAAUUGACAUGGUGCUGUCAAAAUUAUUUAAUUACAAUUUAGAUCUUCACUCUACAUAUAAUUAAUUAAUUACCAAUUAUUUAAAAGACUAGUAAAUUAUAAUUUUAAUCUCUCUACAACUUUCUAAAUUUAGUUAUGAUUCUCUCAAAAAAAUUUCCCUUAAAUAUUAAUUAUAAUUACCUUUAGACAGAAACAUUUCUAAUUUAAACAAGCAAAAAUAAGAAAAAAAAAUAGAUUACAAAAACUAAAUUUGAAUUUUUUUAUAUAACUCCAAAUAUAUUUUAUCCAUAAAUAAAUUCUAUUAAUAUUUCAUUUCUGUUUAAAUAGUUUAUUCAUAUUUGUAAUAUUAUUUUCAAAAAACAAUAAUUGUUUUUUGAAUAAAGGUUUACAAAUUCUAUAAUAAUGUAAAUGAGAAGAGGAGUGAGGGUAAAAAUAUGAGAACCUAUGUGAGGGAAUCUUGUGACAAUUUAGCUGGUGUUCAACUUGUGAGAAGUCUUUCAACUUGGUUUUCAAGUUUUAUAUUCAAUUUCUGUUCCUUCAAAUGUUUCUGAUUUUACAGCUCCUCAGGAUUUUACAGCUCCAUGCACAAACCUAAUACAAUGAUAUGAUAUUCAAUCAGCAUUAAUUAGCAUAAACAGGUACCUUGUUGUAAAACUGGGAAUAUGAGAUUCCAUAGGAUGGAGAAAAGUAUGAAGAGGAAUUACCAAUCACCAUUUACCAAUCAUAAUGCCUUCACUACAAAUGCAACCCAAAUAUGCUAAAGAAGUUAAUGAAACUAUAUAUGAAGAGUUUCAAGAAGAUGCAACUCUGGGACAACAGAGCAACCCAUCUCAUGCUGAACACAAACAUCAAACUACAUCUAACAAUAAUUCAGAAAUCUUAAUCAACAAUUGAGCGAACCCACUCCUAAAAUGCCAUUGAGAAUGUAAAUAAAUCAAAAUACAUUAAAAACGAGAAAUUCUUAAUAAAAAUUCAACGUGUUGAACCUUGUAAUUUAGAAGUAUUAACGAGAAGCCAGUUUAGAUCCUCACCAAUGAAAGACUAUUUUACAGGUUAGCUUCCACUGGAUUCUUCAAUGUGAACAGCACCACCAUAUUUAUCAUCUUUCUUUUUGGAAUAAAGAGGGCAUAUGCCGCAUUCUUUUAUUGUCACAACUGACCACCCAAAGUCAUAAAGAGGACUGAUCUCAAAAGUGAAGCUGCGAGCAUCACACAGCCUAGGGCUUAGGGAUUCUAAGUUAAAUUUCCAGACGAAUGUGUGAUCUUUAUCAACAAAACUGUAUUCACCAUUCCAUUUGAAAUGUCUGUUUAACCUAUCAUUAUUUGGAAUGAUAUGUGUGCCAUCAUCAUCAGAUUCAAAUUUUAGGCUGUAACCAAAAGAACCAUAUCUACCUUUAACAGAAUUCGUAUCUAACACUCCAAAAACCACACACAAAGCGAAACCAGUGAGCCUAUCAUCGCUGCAGAAACUUAAAUCUUCAUUUAUAGUCACUGAAUGUCCCUUCCCACGAAAAUGGAACCAACCAGGAACUGUACUCCCUGGAAAACAGAAGAACACAGACCUAUAUCUAUCAUCGGUCAUCCUAAGCCUUGCAUCCUCCUCAAUGUUAGCACGACCACCUGAAUCCAGUUGUUGAGCAUUGGUGAAACGAAAUUUGAAGACACCCUCUUUGGAAUUUGACAAGUUUUGAACAAGAGAAUUUGGCAUCACUCUUCUAAUGGAUGGGCAAUCCAAUGCCACGAGUUGUUUUAGAAAUGGUGGAAUCUGUGGGAUGCAUUCAAGCUUUUUGCAGUCGCUUAAAUCAAGCGAUUUCAAGCUUGAAAGAUGAGCAAUGCUCUCAGGAAGGUUCACGAUUCCGCUAUCACGCAGUGACAGUUUCACUAAUGACGUCAAGCGACCGAUGUGUCUUGGGAUUUUUGUUAAUUUGGCACACCCCGAACAAUCAAGUUUAGAGAGUAGCUUCAGACUAACAAUGGAGUUUGGAAGUGACUCGAGAUCAGUGCAUUUGCGGAGCUCCAGGGAUCGAAGAUUAACGAAAUUGGCAAAUGAGGAAGGCAGUACUUUAACAGCCGUAUAUGAUAAGUCAAUGCGAGCAAAAGUAGGAGCCCGCUCCGUGAUAUCUGGGAAGGUACUCAGGCUUGAGCAACCACACAAAUCAAGCUUGCUCAAUUUCAAAUUGAAAAUGCUGCUUGGAAAAGUCUGAAGUGAAUUACAGCGGGUGAGGUGUAACUUGCAUAGUCUGGUGAGGCUUCCAAUGGAAGAUGGAAUAAUCUGAAGAUUGAAGCAACUGCGCAAACUCAGUUCUUCAAGCCCUAUCAAACGGCACAAGGAUGAAGGUAGUGCCUGUAUGGCUGUGGCGUCUAAGAUGAGCACCGCUAGAUCUUCCAACGUGUCCUGAAUCUCGGGUAAAUUUUCCAAUUUUGAGCAACCACGGAGAGAAAGUUGAUUUAUGAAUUUCAUAUCAGAAAGGUCAAUUGGAAAGAUUGUAAGAGAAGAACAGUGAGAGAGAUCUAUGUGAGAGAGCUUCUUGCCACUAAAUUGUAAGGGCACACCUUCGUAGUCUUCUGAGUAUUCUGAGUCUGUAGCAUUAUUAGCAUUUAUCUCUUUCAUCAUAUCCGGUUCCUGACGCUCCAGUAUGACAUGAGGGAGAAAUUUAUCUUCAUGUUCACCCAAUGAAAACAUAUUAAGCUUCUCACAACCGGAAACACUAAUCCAUCCUGGUGAUGUGGAUAAAAUGUUGCUGGGAAUAUUUACACUUUUGAGAUUAGAACAAUGAUCUAAACAUAAACAACUGAGCUUGGUGAGGAAUAUCGAAGAGUGAACUUCAAUCAACUUUGAACAAUAACUCAGCUUUAUUUCUUCAAUAUUCGGUGACAGAGAAAGGUCUGGUAUUCUAGUAAGUUCCCAAGAUUUAACCAGGUCGAGCCUUUUCAAGUUGGGUAAAUUCUGCCAGAAAUAGUAAAUGAAUGAGGUAACAAAUAAAAACUACUUUAUCUAUUUUUCUUCCUAUUUAAACUAUUAGCUACUAUCUAUUGAGUUUAUAUUUUACAUUACUUAAAAACCACUGUUAAAAAAACCACACUGUGGACUAACAAAACUCUGCCUAUAAAUUUUAUAGUUAUUAUAAAAAAUCACAAAAUUUAACGUCUUUUUGUUCCCUACCUAAAAUUACAUCCUAAUCAUUUGAACCUAAACUUAUUAUGUAUUCAAAAACUUAUGAUAGUAAUUUAUAAUCGAUCACAAUGUCAAAAUACUUUAUAUUAUACAUGUAUCAACUCACAAAAUAAAUGGUGUUGUCUCAGAUUUAAAAUUAAACCUUAGUUAAAAAGUCCAUCUUUCCAUAAUUUAUUUUAUUAAAUACAUAAUUUGUAAUUUAUUGUAUAUUAUAUUCAAGUUUAUGUUAUGAUAAAAAAAGUAUCUAAGGCAUUUUUAAUUAAAUAAUAUAAAAUAAACAACAUGAACUCAAUUAAAUAAUAUAAAUUUUUUUGAAUACUCGAUGGAAUAAAAAAAUUAAUAAAACCCUCAAUUUGAAAAUAACCAAAUUUAUAAGAUACUUAAAACUUAAUUAAACCUACAAAUUUUCAUUAUAUGGAAUUAAAUAUUGUAAAGAUUUACCACAUAAGUUUCAUAAGUAGAAGGUUUAAACAUAAAAUUCUUCACGUUGGGAGUUUCUUUCCUCUAUCUUAUAAGUUUUCGUUGUUUCUUUAAUAUUUUUUAUAUGGCUUCUGUCAAUGUAAUUUUUUUUUUGGUUUUAAAAUAUUAUUAAAGAUAAAAUAUGAAGACAGGGUAAUUAAAUUAAAUAUAAUUUUUAUUUUUCAGAAAUGAUGAAAAUUAUAAUUAAAUUAACUAAAUUAUAUAAAAUUCCAUUUUAUUUACAUAACUCAUUUUCAUAUUAAAAAACUAUAUAAGAUCUUCCAAAGUAGAUAUAAUACAUUCACGGGCCAUUAGAUGAUAUGCCUAAAAAAAUAUGCAAACUAUUAAAUUUAUAAUUAUCUUUAAUUAGAAACAUGCUGAGUAUGACUCAAAUAAAAGAAAUUUCAAAUCGAAUAAUGUCGAGAAGGCACAAAGGAAUUGCAAAUGAAAACUUGUAUAUGUAUAAUACAGAAAACAUGCUUGUAUAAUUUAUUUUUAUCUUUGAAAGUUUAGAACACAAAGGAACAUAGAUAGCUUGAAAAACCUGAUCUCCUUCCCAGAGUUGUUCAAGAUGGCAGAAUGGCAUUUCGAGGGUCACUAGAUUUUGUGGGCAAAAGUUUGGAGGCCAAAAUCUUUGAGGGAAAUGUGUCCAAUAAAGAAUCUUUAGAGUGUCUGGCAUAUCCACAAGAGGUGAUUCAAAAGACACUUUUAAUUCCAAUCCCCACGUGUAGAGCCUAAGCACCCUAAGAUUGUUCAUCUUUUCGAAACUUUGUGCAUGUACUACAACUUCUUUUACUUUGAAAGUAGAUAGUGAUAUACACUCUAUUGAAGUAGAUAGUGAUAUACACUCUAUUGCAUCUGACCCCUGAAAGUAAAUCAUGAAAUGUUGCAUUGCAGGAUGUUUGAUGACAGCUCAGUGGUUUGCAAUUUUUCACAAAGUAAAUCCAUUCUCAAUUGAGUAACGACAUAAUACCUUGUUCUUUCUUAAAACCUCUCAAAUUUCCUCAGCAUUAAACAAUCGGCUGCGUUUUCCAGGAUGCUGAGGACACUCUUUACGAACAAUUUCUUUACCCAUUUCUUGUAUUAGAUCGUGCAUCACAAUUCUACCAUGAAAGACAGAUAUUAGGCCCCUAUCUUUGAGAAUAUCCAUUCCAAUCUUGGAAGAGAAACCACAGUCAGCAAGUAUUUCUGCUACCACAAUCUCUUGUGACCUAUAUAAAAGCAAGCUAUGUCAAGAAAUAUAUUCUUCUCCUCCUCCUCGAGCCCAUCAUAACUUAAUUUUAAUACAUUGAAAAUACCAAGAUGUUGGCCCUUUUCCAACUUUUGCAACUGACUCUCCCAUGCUUCUCUUGUUCUUCCAUAAAGCAAUGACCCCAAAAUCUGGAGAGCUAAUGGAAUCCCUUUUGCAUAUCUCAACACCUUUUCUGACAGUUCCCUGUAAGCAAUUUCUUCUGAAGAUUUUUGUUUAAAAGCAAGUAAACUAAAAAGUUUCUGAGAAUCAUCAAAAUUCAACUCCUUAACUUCGUAGAUAUCAUCAGCUCUAGCAUUCUUAAGCACUUGUUUGUCUCUACUGGUGAUAAUGAUUCUACUGCCCUGCCCAAAACUAUCACUCCCUCUUAUUAAUUUUUGAAGUUGAGCUGAAUCGGUAACAUCAGUUAGAAGUGGAACACGUUUGUAGAAGUGGAACACGUUAGUUGGUUAGUUGCCUUAAGAAGCGGAUCAUGUAUUUUUUCUUGAACGUCUAAAACAAGGCUGCUGGAAUCAAACUGCAAUUCCAAUUUGUGAUAUAUUUGAUCACAAAUUGUAGUUUUUCCUAUUCCUCCCAUGCCACAAAUGCCUAUGAUCCGAACAUCCGGUAAGUCAAGAUGCAACAAGGACUGAAUUCCUUCAAUAUUUUUUUCAAUGCCGAUGAUUCCUUGAUCAUAACUGAUGGAAUAACGAUUCAAUUUUCUCAAAAUAUCUCCCACAAUUCCUUCAACAAGUGUGUGUUCUGACCUGGCAGAUGAUUUAGAAAAUAAAGUAUAAGUAUUCAUGCACAAAAGCUAAAACAAAACUAAAGAAAAAUUCAGAGUCAAGAAGAGUGAACAUCAUUGAAUAGAUUCACAUAUUGAUUGUAGGACGUUAUCUUCGAAUAUUAGUGUGGUUGGUUUAGAAAUUGCAAAUCAAGAUCGCAGAAAUUCUACAGUAACCGGUAGUGACUUCUGAUACUAGGAAGCAGUCUUGUAGGUACAAAGUUAAGCUAUAAGAUGUGAUAUGGUUCAGAUCUAUGACCCACUACGAAAAAUGGAAAAAAGAAACACUUGAUUUAUGGUGAGAUGAACACAAUUUUAGUAAAUGAAAAGAGAUCCUGAUUAUCUAAUAAAUAUAAUGACCUGGUGACUUUUGAAUCCCAGCCUGAAAGUCCAGCAGCUUCGGUGAGAGCAUCCUUCCAUCCUUGCACUUUGUCGUGCUUAAAGUGCUGCUCAUGCUCAUCGAAUGCUUCUUUGUAUCUUUCUUCCUGCUUCCUAAUAGUUGACGGAUCCACCUUGUAGAAAACAGGUAUGACAUCCCUUCCAUAUCUCUUCUUGCAAUCAAGUAUCUUAGUGAGUUCAUUCAAGCACCAAGUGGAAGAUGCAUAGUUUUGGGAGAAAACGACGAUAUAAAUCUUCGAUUCUUCUAUUGCAGAGAGCAGUGCAGAUGAAAUUUCUUCGCCCCGGGGUAGUGUCUCAUCAAUAUAUGCUUCUAUGUUCUUCCUUUGCAGUGCUGGAUGAAGGUGGCUAAUGAAGUUGUCACGUGUGUCUUCCCCUCUGAAGCUGAGAAACACAUCAUGCUUUGUUAGAGAAGUGGACACGGGGAAUGAUGAAGAACUUCCUGUUUAAUUUCUUCGCCCCUGUUUAAUCUGUAAUCAAUAUAUGCUUCAAUGUUCUUCCUCUGCAGCGCUGCAUAAAGGUGACUAAUGAAGUUGUCACGUGUGUCUUCCCCUCUGAAGCUGAGAAACACAUCAUGCUUGGUUAGAGAAGCAGACAUGGCCAAUGAUGAAGGGUUUCAAUUUUCUCUGCAACUCUCAGAUCCCUUUGUUUGUAAGCAACUUGCAUAUAUUCUAUUUCUAUCACAAAUCAACUUUUGGAAAAGCCUUCAAUUCAAAAUAUGCUUCACAGCUUUAUAUUAACGUGCCUAGCUUUAUACCAUUCUUACGCAUUGGUAAAGAUUCUUCAAUAUCUUUACUCAAUUUGUUUCUUCAAUACCUUUUACACAUUCUUACGCAUUGGUAAAGAUUCUUCAAUAUCUUUACUCAAUUUGUUUCUUCAAUACCUUUUACAUAUAAAGAAUCGGAUUUGUUUAAUAUAUUUUAGAAAAUAACCAGUAAACAGAAAACUAGGUUAAUAUGACUAAAUGAAUAAAGAUAGUACUCAUAAAAAAUAUUUUAGAUUACAAGUGGUAUAACUAAAAUAAAAUAUUUUAUUUUUAAAAUAAAAUUUAUAAAUAAAUAAAAAAAUAUAAUUGUUUAGUUUUCGGUGUAAAACAAUAUUCAUUUUUAUAAAAAAAAAUCUUUUCUCUUUUAUUUUAUUUUUAUAUUUCUAAUUAGAGUAUUCUUGAGUUUGACAAUAGAAUCCUUUCUUUGGACUUUUGGAAUUAAAUAAAGAUGUUAAUUGAAAAAAAAAAUUGAAAUAGAAACUAAUUUAGAAACCAAAUUUCUUUUUAGUUUCUAAAAUGGUCUCUAAUUUAGUUACUAUUGCAACUAAUUGUUUUGGUUUCUAGAAAUUGGUUUCUAUUUCAUGAUUUUCUUGUAGUGUAUACUGAAGGUGUGCACCCCUAUGAAAUGUUUUUAUUUCUAGUUGAUGUGUGAUUUCCAAUAAUUAUAUAAAUUGAUUGUUAUAUGCAGUGUGAAGUUUAACCUUGAUUUUUACUUGAAAAAAUGGAUUUUAAUAUGAGGUAUGCAUGCUCUCAUACUCAAAUUCAAUAAGCGGAAUUUUCACAUGUCAAUAGAAUUUGAACCUGCAUAGUUUUGGGCACUCUCCACCUCAAAUUCGCUCAAUGUUUUUUCCUGCGUUUAAGCGAAAUUACAUGCAGAUUUUGGAGUACUUUCGGGCUUAAAAUUGCUCAAAGAAAUUUCCCUAUGGCAAGCAAAUUUAAGCUACAAUUGUUUGGGUGUUCUUUGCCUCAAAUUCGUUGCCUCAAAUUCGUUCAGCGAAGAUUUCUCUGGGCUUAAGCCCCAACUUCAUGGGCUCGAGCCAUUUUGACAACAUUUGUCAUCUUUGCUUAGAUAUCUUUUGGUUUGUUUUCUAUAGGUCAUGAAAUUGAAUUAAAUCUUUUGAAAUUUAACAUGUGUUUAAAAUAAGUAAAUCUAACAUUUAUAAUCAUGCAACAUGUGUUUAAUUUAUAAAAAAAAUAUAAAACAAAUACUCAUUAUAUAUUCAAUUGAUAUGUAAAAUUUUAAAUAUUAUGUGAUUAUUGUUGAUAUUUUGUAACGGUUUUAAAAAUAUAAACUUCUAUAUGAUUGAAUGAUAUAUUAUCGAUACAUAGUAAUUUCAAGUAAGGAAAUACUUUGUUAAGGAUAGUUAGGAUGUGUCUUGAUUAGUAAUACAUUUAGAAUAAGAUAUUUGACUCUAUUCACAUAUUAAGGUGGUGACAGUCAAAUGAGAUUUAUAUGAUUUGAUCUACAAUAUAAAAAAUCAUAAUCUAACAUGCCAUAUGAAUUAACCUUGUCAUAUUAGGUGAUUCUAUUAUGAUAUUCUUAUUCGCAUAGAUGUGUGAAUUUCACAAUGGGGUAUUAUAACAUGUGCAAAUUUUUUAGUCUAAAUCAAUGUACGAUUCUUUCAGAAAUAGGGUCAAGUGUACAUGUGGAUCUAAUUAGAUUUUUGACAUGAGUAAUAUGGAACACAAGUCAUUUAGAGACACUUAAUUGUUUAAUAUAUUAGGAAUGAAUGAAGUGUGAUUAUUCAUAUGAUUAUGAUUGAAUGAUUCAAAUAUAAAUUUUAAAAAUCAUUAACUUAGCCUAAUUUCUUGUUAGUAUCAUUUUUUUGUUAGUAUCGUUUUUUUUUUAGAUUUGUUAUGAUCGUGAGUUACAUGUGAACAUAUGAUGUUGUAUGUUAUAGGCCUCAAAAUUGAAAAUGAGAGAGUUUUUUCUUUUAAUUCUUUUGAUGUUUUAUUUUGAUGUAUAUAUUUGAUUAUGAUAUAAUAAUAUUACAAUGUAAAUGUUAUUUAUAUACUAUCACAUGGUAAAUUAAAAUUUAAUAAGGUAGUUAAGGAUGUUAUAAUUAUUCUUUUAAUUUAUUUUAUUUCACUGUAUAUUUAGGUGUAUUACGUAAAAUGUAUAGUUAAAAAAAAUAAUGUUAUUUUGAAAUUUAAGCUUUUGUUAAAAUUAUACCAUUUGAAAAGGAACACAGAACAAUCUUGACAAUUAUACUGACUUAGUACUUAUUUUAAUUUAUUAUAUUCAUGAGUAUUAUUUUUUUCUUAAACAUAAAUAUUGGAUAAAAAAUAUAAAUAACAUUUAUUUAUUUCAAAUUUAAAAAUCUUUAAAAUAAAUAUAAAUAAUAUUUUUAAUCAAGAUGUGUUUUUUAACAAUUUUUUUUAAUUUAAAAAUAAUUAAUUCGGACGAUGAUUAAAGAAAUAUUAACAAAUUAUUUCUGCGAUUAUAAUAAACCUUCAAUAAUUUUUGCACUUUCUAGCAUAUAGAAUAUGGAUCCUUUUGUGAUUUUUCUUUUCUAAAGUACAAUUGAUAUUUUAAAUGUUUUUCUAUUUAAUUUUCCUUUCUUAAUGCACAUAAAAAUUUCAGUGCACAAUUAUUACUCACCUUAAUUCAAAAUGGAAAUUAAAAUUCAAGAACCCUACUUAUAUAUUAAUAUUCAACGAUUUAAAAUAUUAGUAUGCAAAUUAAUCUUUCUUAAUAAUAUUUGUAACAAUUUUUAAUAAUUCAAUGUGAAAUAUGUAAUAAUUACUUUUCUAUGAUUCAGAGGGAAAAUUAUUCCAACUAGACUUUUACAAAUAUAUUUCAAGUGGUAAUAUGAUUUUAAACAAAAAUAGUAUUCUCCACAAAAAUAAAUAGUUACUGUUCCUAAUUAAACAAGUCACAUUCUUGAACAAAAUAUCAAAUAACAAGGAAUUAGACUAUGAAAUGAUGACCAAUUAUAUUAAACAACAUAACAUACAUUUCUCAAUGUACACAAGGUAUAAAUAAUACAAUAUCAUCCAAAACCUGUGUUCACUAUGUAAAUAAACCAUUUUUUUUGCCAUUACCUCUUUCAUGAUGAUGAUUUGUUUACUAGGGAUUGCAAUGAUAGGUCAUGAUCAAAACUUAGGCCUAAGACUAAAAAUAGAAUGAAAUGAGCAUGAAAAUAAAGAUAACUUUUGAGUGAGACACAUUCUUCCUUACAAGCAGCAAGUUCUUCCAGGUUAUCUUCUCUUCCUUCAACCGUAGCUGUGCAACCGCCUGUUGUUCAUUGCCACCAAUAUCUCUAGUGCCAAAACUAUGUUUUCCAAAAUUAGAGUUAUAUGGCUUUAUCUGUGAAGUCUUACCAGCCAUAAUGUUUUAUUUUACUGUUUUGUUGUAAUCAUGCCAAUAGAUAAAUCGUGGAUUUGUAAACCACGAAACACCAUUGAGUAUGCAAAUGGGUUGAAUGUGUUUUUGGAUAUUGCAUUUCAACAUGCUAAUGGUCCUGUAAUUAAGUGUCCAUGUGCAAAGUGUGGUUUCAAAAAGUGACAAACAAGGGAUGUAAUCCAAGAACACUUAACAUUUACAACUUUCCCUCAGAACUACAAAACUUGGUAUUUGCACGGUGAAAGACCAAGUGUAAUUGAGCCUAUGGUCACUACAAGUGUGCAUGUCAUUGAAGAUUUAUUUGAAUCUCAAAAUACAAUGGAAGACAUGUUGAAUGAUGCAUUCGAGUUUGCGGGACAUGAUGAGGAUACUGAAGUUGAUGGUUUGCAAACUAAUAUGGUGGGUGAUGAAGGAAUAUGAACUUUGAUGAAUUGAUGAGGGACAAUAAUGAACCCUUAUAUGAAGGUUGUACAAAGCAUUCGAAGUUAUCAUUCAUGUUGAAGUUGUACCAUAUCAAAUGCAUGAGUAGAAUGAGUGACAAAGCAAUGACCAUGAUUCUAGACUUGCUAAUGAACACAUUUGAACAUGCUAAGUUUCCUAACUUGUUUUAUGAGGCGAAGACUGUGAUUACCAAACUUGGACUUAAUUAUGUCAAAAUACCAGCUUGCCCAAAAGACUGAAUGCUAUAUUGGGGCGAAGACAAUGAAGGCUUAGAAGAAUGUAAACGGUUCAAAACGUCUAAGUGCAAAAAAAAAAAAAGAUAAGAAGCAAUUGCAUUACUUUCCAUUAAAACUGUGAUUGCAAAGAUUGUUUAUGAGUUCUAAGAUGAUUGAGUCUAUGACAAGGCAUGCAUCAAAGGAUAAUCAAGAUGGAUUGAUGAGGCAUCCUAGAGAUUCUGAGGCUUGCAAAUCAUUUUAUUGCAUCCAGAAUUUGUAAAUGACCAUUGAAAUGUACGAUUAGACUUAGCUGCUUAUGGCUUUAAUCCUUAUGAAAACAUGAGUAAAAACCAUAGUAUAUGACGAGUGGUUAUCAUCCCAACAAUCACCCUCCUUGGGAGUUAUGAAGCAAACAUCUUUUAUCCUCUACAUGAUAAUUUCUGGAAAACAAAUGGUAGAAAAUGACAUUGAUGUUUAUUUAAAACCACUUAUAAGCAAAUUGAAGGAGUUAAUAGUAUGAUCAUGUAAUUAUUAUUUAUAUACUAAAUAUUACGACAUAUAGUAAUUUAAAAUUUGAUAAGGUAGAUGAGGAUAUUAAAAUAUCUCUUUUAAUUUAUUUUAUUUUAUUGUAUAUUUAGGUGUAUUAUGUAAAAUAUAUAAUUAAAAAAAAUAAUGUUAUUUUAAAAUUUAAAGAAUCACGUAUAGAAAGAAACAUAUAACAAUCUUGACAAUUAUAUUCUGACUUAGAGAUACUUAUCUUAAUUUAUUAUAUUCAUGAGUAUUAUUUUUUUCUUAAACAUAGAUAUUGGAUAAAAAAUAUUAAUAAUAUUUAUUAUUUAAAUUUUAGAAAUAUUUAAAAUUAAAAUUAAAAUUAAAUAAUAUUUUUAAUUAAAAUAUGAAAAAAAUUCCUUAACAAUUUUUUUAAUUUCAAAAUAAUUAAUUCAGAGGAUGAUUGAAAAAAUAUUAACAAAUCAUUUCUGCGUUUAUAAUAAACCUUCAAUAAUAUUUGUACUUUCUAUCAUAUAGAAUACUUAAUGGAUCCUUUUGUGAUUUUUCUUUUCUAAAGUACAGUUGAUAUUUUAAAUGUUUUUCUAUUUAAUUUUCAUUUCUCAAUGACAAAUAAAAUGGUUCAGUGCACAAUUAAUUAUUCUCACCUUAGAUUUCAUUCAUCUCAUUCCAUUUCCACACUCAAAUCAUUCUCACAUUUUUUUCUACCUAUUUCACAAAGUUUUUGUUAAAAUAUGGAAAUUAAAGUUCAAGAACCCUACUUAUAUUUCAUAUUCAACAAUUUAAAAUAUUAAUAUGCAAAUUAAUAUUUCUUAAUAAUGUUAUUUUUAUGUAAAAAUUAAAAUGUAGUUUAGUCAUUCAUACUUAGAUGGAUAAAAAUGGUUUUAGAAAGAAAAAAAUAUGCAUUUUUUUGAAAGGUUAUCUAAACUCUAAACUCAUUGAUGAAUUAAUAAUAAUAAAUAAUAUGGAAUUCUAUACGAAUAGCAUAUAAAUGUUUUCUUGUUGAAACUGAUAAUUAAUUCAGUCUAGGGACAAUUAUCGCGGUAUUUGUUCUUUUAUUUUUAAUGUUUAAACAAUUAUAAAAUUCUGUUUUUAGAUAUUAAAAUGAUAGUUUUCAUUUACAGAUUAAAAUAUUACUUGUUUCUUUUAAGAUUUUUUGUAUUAUAAUUAUUUGUUGUCUGAAUUGUUUUGAUUUAACAUGUUGUUUUCUUGGGCUAUGAUAUUGUGAGGUUUUAUUACAUGCAGGUACGUGAAUAUUUUUUUUAUCCUAGUUGUAUAAAUCAGGAAAAUUGUUUUUCACAUUAUAAUAACCGUUUAACAACUCUAAAUAAUAAUAAAAUAUUAACUCAUAUUGUUUAAUUAAAGUAUAAAUUAAAUUAUUAAAUAAAAAAGUAGUAAAACUGGUUGCAGGAUGGGAAUAUGAUUAUUUUUAACUGCUAGCUCCUGAUUAUUCUUUUCUAAUAAAAAAAACACCAAUAGCAACAAAACAAGUUUUGACACACGUAGGUUUGGCAAUUGUUUUAAUAGCUGAAAAUAGUACAACAAUUUUUAAUUACCACAAACUGCAUCUUAAAUCAUAAAAAAUUAGCAUUUUGUUAGUUCAUAUAUAAUAAAAUUUCCAUAAAACAGCCAAUUGUAUUAAUUAUUAAUAAUGUAUUUACAAUUUUUUUAGAUAAUUUUUUUACUAUAAAGACAUUUAUUUGAGAUUGAAAUUGUAAUUAACACUUUUUGGUCAAAGAAUAAUAUAUUUCACUUGAUUUUUUGUAUUAAAUAUUUUGUAUAGCGCUGAGACAAAAAAAAAUCUCAUAUAAAUCCCUAUGUGCUACAAGUACAAUAUAACAUCCUUAAUGUAAGCAAUAAAAAUGAUGAAUACUCAAAGUCGUGUAAUUACGCAAAAGAAUCAAGUGAUUUUUAAAAGAACUCACAUGAUCAGUUUAAAUUUUGACGAUAAAAUACAUUAAUUAUAUAUAUUUAUUCAAAAUUUCAAUUAUAUUAUGCAUUAAUGGUUUUAUGCUUUUAGAGGAAUCAGAGAAACUUAGAAAAGCUCCUAAAAACUAAUGUAACCCUAUGAAUAGAAGAGAGCUAAAAGAAAGAGAAAAUGGAAGUGAGAAAAGAUGAUAAUUAAUAAACACGCUCUCUUCAUAACAUAGAGUCUUUAAACCUAUAUUCCCUCAAACAAUUAUAAAGAAUUAACAAUCACACUUUUAUAAGUCAUCACCCACAUGAAACAAAACAAGGUGCCUCAAUAUGAAUAAACCAAGAUUAAUAAGAAAUAUGAGGUUUCACUAACCAAGCUCAGAAUUUUCUGCUUUUAUAGCUCCAUGCACAAACCUAAUACAAUGAUAUGAUAUUCACUGCAAAUGCAACCCAAAUAUGCUAAAGAAGUUAAUGAAACCCAAAUAUAAAGAAUUUGAAGAGAAUGCAACUCUGGGACAACAGAGCACACCAUCUCAUGCUGAACAGAAACAUCAAACUAUAUCUAACAAUAACUAUACCUAUGUUUGCUUUGGGUCUGUUUUUAGUUUCAAUGUUACUCUUUAUCUGCAGGUUGGGAACAUAUCUUGAUGAAAUAUAGAAACAUUUUUAUUCAUAAUAUAUAUAAGGAUUACACAUUCAUAAUUAUUUCUUUCUGUCGUAGCAUUGUCUACCUCAAAUCACUGCAACUUUCUGUUGUUGGUAUUUGCAUAUCACGAUGGUUAUUGAGAAAUUUAGGAGUUUGCUGUUGUGUACCAGAAGUAAAAUAGAAGGUUCAUUUUUUGGUCAUCAUCAAUUAUUAAUGUAAAUAGAUAUAGGUGAAGGAGAUCAGUAUUAUGCAUUGUAUCAUGGACCAUUAGAAGACUAGGGUCACCAAUUGGAGGCAUUGGUAACUUUGGCUAGUAAAACUAAAACCAAAGUCCAUUUUUACAAAGCCUUGGUCUAAUUCACCUUAUAGCUGUACUUUUUCCUCCAUUUUAAUAAUAUUAAGUUUUCAUUUUCUAUGCAUAAUCUUGGGUAAUUUUCUUUUUAUAUCAAUGCUUGAAGUGUCAAAUUGUUACAAGCUGGAUUAUUAAGAAAGAAAAGAGUGCAUUCUGGAUGCUCGAAAGGGAGUGUUUCCUAGAAAAAAAAUGUGAUUUCAGGGUGUCCAGGCUCAGGUAGCAAUGGUAGGAGUUCCACAUUGAAAUGGAUGAACUACUUGAUUUAGUACUUUGGGACUCUCUCACCUAAUGGACUAGUAUUUUGGGUUAGCUUCUCUCCCCUUAAUGCUUAAGUCCUAAAAAACAGUUUUUCUGUUUCUAUUUAUCUUUUAGGGUGUGAUUAGGACCAUGAAGCAGUGGGUGUUUUUUCCAUUAAUGAACUUUGCCACUGCCACAGAUCACCUAGGUUAACCUAAUUAAGUCUUCUGAAUUGUAUUUUGUAAUUAAUUCUUGUAAAACAUGGAGUGUAAAAUUCAUGUACAUUUUUCUUUUCCUCUUUUGAUUUGGAUGUCAAACUAGCAACUUCAUGUUUUGUCUGGUUGGUCUAUCACAUUUAUGUAGGUUGUAAUCUAUUUUGCCUAAUGCAUCAGUUGCAGAUAGGUACUAAAUUAUCUUAGUUCGGAUACACCUUGCCAAUUAGAUUAAGAUCAAGAAUUUAAAGUGAAUGGUUCACUUCUGAGUUCUUAAAUGAGAUAAAAUGUUCAGAGAUACUAAAUCAUCGCCUUCAUUUGAAAAUUGGCGUGCCUAUUAUGCUUUUGAGAAAUAUUGAUCAAACCAACGGUCUUUGUAAUGGAACAAGGUUGCAAGUUAUUGAUUUGAAGAAAAUGUUAUUUGUGCAAUAGUUCUAACAGGAACAAAUAUUGGUGAUAAAAUCUUCAUUUCAAGAAUGAAUUUGAUCCCUUUAGAUGUAGGUAUGCCAUUCAAAUUCCAGAGAAGACAAUUUCCAAUAGCUUUAUGUUUUGCAAUGACAAUUAAGAAAAGCCAAGGUCAAUUAUUGACCAAAGUUGGUUUAUAUUUUUCACAUCCAAUUUUCACACAUCGAUAGUUGUAUGUAGCUAUUUAUAGAGUUCGAAAGAAAAAAGAUUUAAAAAUUCUAACUCUUGAUGAAGAUGGAAUGCAACAAACAAGAAAAAGAAAAUGUUUACACUGAAAUUUUUGACAAUAUUUGAAAACAAUAGAAUUAUAUGAUAAACUUGGAAUGGCUAAUUCUCCCUGCAACCAAUAUUUUUGAACCUGCAACUUUUAAAUUUUUGAAAAUGCUCUUUAUUCCAGAAAUGAAAAUAAUACAUUACAAAAAAAAUAGAUCCAAAAAAGAUUAUUGUGUUUUGGUAAUAAAAAUCGGAAAACAAAAAUCAAAAGCCCAUUAUGAAUAAGAAAAUUCGUAAUACAAAAAAUUUGGUCUUAAAAACAAAAUCUGAAAACAUAUUCCAGAAAGAAAAUCCGAAAUGUAUUUUUAUAUAUAACCCAUUUUUUCAAGGGAGUUUCGUCUUUUCUAUUGUAAAAGGGGUUGGAAUUUGCUCCCUUGGAAUUAUAGUUUCUUAUGUGUGAUGUAGUAACAGUUGCCUUAUUUAAAAUGUUACUAAAUAACAUAUAAUUUAUAUCUGUUAUUUUUAUUCUGUUAUGACUUUAUAUAUUUGUCACAACAUGAAUGAGGCACAAACCCAUCUCAUGUUAACGAAGUUGAGAAUUUUCUGAUUUUACAGGUCCAUGCAAAAAUCUAAUAUAAUGAUAUGAUAUUCAAUAUCAAGAGGUACUUGUCGUAAAACGGGGAAUAUGAGAGACUCCAUAGAAUGAAGAAAAAGUAUAAAGAGGAUUUACAAAUUAACCUUUCAAAUGCAGCUCCUCAGAAUUUCAUAAUGCCUUCACUGCAAAUGCAACCCAAAUAUGCUAAAGAAGUUAAUCAAACAAUACAUGAGGAGUUUCAAGAAAAUGCAACUCUGGAACAACAGAGCAACCCAUCUCAUGCUGAACAGAAACAUCAAACUAUAUCUAACUUAGAAAUCUUUGUCAACAAUUGAACGAACCCACUCCUUAAAUACCAUUGAAAAUGUAAAUAAAACAAAAUAAAUUAAAAACGAGAAAUUCAUAAUAAAAAUUAAACGUGUUGAACCCUGUAAUUUAGAAGUAUUAACGAUAAGGCAGUUUAGAUCCUCACCAAUGAAAGAGACUAGCUGACUAGGUAGCUUUCGGCCUUCCUCUUCCUAUCUUCCCUUGUUUCUCUUGAAGACUCUGCAAUAUUGCUUCCAUUGGAUUGUUCAAAGUCAACAGCACCACCAUAUUUAUCAUCUUUCUUUUUCGUAUAAAGAGGGCAUAUGCCGCAUUCCUUUAUUGUGAUACCUGAUUUCAACCGAAAGUGAUAAUCACACGGACUGAUAAGUGAAGCUGCGAGCAUCACAGAUUCUAAGGCUCAUGCCGCUCGCCCUUAGGAACUCCAAGUUAAAUUUCCACACGAAUGUGUGAUCUUGAUCAACACAUCUCUCUUCACCAUUCGAAAUAGCUGUUUAACACAUCUAUCAUCGCUGCAGAAACUUAAAUCUUCAUUUAUAGUCACUGAAUGUCCCUUCCCACGAAAAUGGAACCAACCAGGAACUGCAGUCCCUGGAAAACAGAAGAACACAGACCUAUAUCUAUCGUCGGUCAUCCUAAGCCUUGCAUCCUCCUCAAUGUUAGCACGACCACCUGAAUCCAGUUGCUGAGCAUUGGUGAAAUGAAAUUUGAAUACACCCUCUUUGGAAUUUGAGAGGUUUCGAACAAGAGAAUUUGGCAUCACUCUUCUAAUGGAUGGGCAAUCCAAUGCCACGAGUUGCUUUAGAAAUGGUGGAAUCUGUGGGAUGCAUUCAAGCUUUUUGCAGUCGCUUAAAUCAAGCGAUUUCAAGCUUGAAAGAUGAGCAAUGCUCUCAGGAAGGUUCACGAUUCCGCUAUCACGCAGUGAUAGUUCCAUUAAUAACGUCAAACGACCAAUGUGUCUUGGGAUUUCUGUUAAUUUGGAGCACCCCGAACAAUUUAGAGAGAAGCUUCAGAUUAACAAUGGAGUUUGAAAGUGACUCGAUAUCAGUGUAUUUCUGAAGCUCCAAGGAUCGAAGAUUAACGAAAUUGCAAAAUGAGGAAGGCAACUGCGCAAACUCAGUUGUUGAAGCCCUACCAAACGGCACAAGGAUGAAGGUAGUGCCUGUAUGGCUGUGGCGUCUAAGAUGAGCACCGCUAGAUCUUCCAACGUGUCCUGAAUCUGGGGUAAAUUUUCCAAUUUUGAGCAACCACGGAGAGAAAGUUGCUUUAGGAAUUUCAUAUCAGAAAGGUCAAAUGGAAAGAUUGUAAGGGAAGAACAGUAAGAGAGAUCUAAAUGACAGAGCUUCUUGCAACUAAAGUGUAAGGGCACACCUUUCAUGAAUUUUGUCAACACUUCUAAGUAUAUAGUAUUAUUAGCCACUUCUUCUUCUUCAUUAUAUCUGUCAAAAGUAAUUGAGGAAGUUGGGAAAAUAUGACCACUGUAUGCACGAGGUUCACCACGCCGUCCUGCACCAUGCCGUUCUGAGAAAUUUAUCUCUUUGAUCAUAUCCGGUUUCUGGCGAUGGAAUCUUGAGAAAGUUUGACGUUGACGCUCCACGCUCCAGUAUCACAUGAGGGAAUCUUGAGAAAUUUCCACGUUGAUGCCCCAGUUUCUGAUGUGGGUAUCUUGUGACGCUCCAGUUUCACAUGACGAAAUCUGGGUUCACUGGUUGAAAACAUAUUAAGCUUCCCACAACAGGAAAUAUUAAUCCAUCCUUGUAAUGUGGAUAAAAUGUUGCUGGGAAUAUUUAUACUAUUCAGAUCAUAACAAUUAUCUAAACAUAAAUAACUGAGCUUGCUGAGUAAUAUCGAAGAGUGAACUUUAAUCAACUUUCCACAAUAACUCAGAAUUAUUUCUUCAAUAUUUGGUAAGAGAGAAAAGUCUGGUAUUCUAGUAAGUUUCCGAGAACCACUCAGGUCAAGCCUUUUCAAGUUUGGUAAAUUCUGCCACAAAUAGUAAAUGAAUCAGGUAACAAAUAAAAACCACUGUUAAAAAAAUCACACUCUGAACUAACAAAACUGUGGCUAUUCACUAUCAACAAUCCCUCUCAAAUACACUUCUACUAAUACAUUAACAACAAUAUCAUUAUAUUAACCAUAAAAUAUUACAUUUCUUCAGUUAAUACGUAGGACAAUAUAAUAAUCAGGUCACUCAGCUAAUGAAAAAAAUUAAACAACAUGAACUCAAUUAAAUAAUAUAAAACUUUUGAGUACUAGAUAAAAUAAGAAAAUUAAUAAAAAUUCAAUUUGAAAAUAAUCAAAUUUAUAAGAUACUUAAAACUUAAUUAAACCUACAAAUUUUCAUUAUAUGGAGUUAAAUACUAUAAAUAUUUACCACAUAAGUAGAAUGUUUAAAUAUAUAUUUCUUCACGUUGGAAGUUUUUUUCCUCUAUCUUAUAAGUUUUCUUUGUUUCUUUAAUAUUUUUUAAGCCAAUGUGAUUUUUUUAAUAUAAAAUAUUAUUAAAGAUAAAAUAUGAAGAUAGGGUAAUUAAAUAUAAUUUUUUAUUUUUUAGAAAUGAUGAAAAUUAUAAUUAAAUUAACUAAAUUAUAUAAAAUUCUAUUUCAUUUACAUAACUACUUUUCAUAUUAAAAAAACUAUAUAAGAUCUUGAAACUAUAAUUAAUAUUUCUACUCAUUUUUCGUUUUUGUUGGUGAAAUCUUGAUUUUGGGAUAGUAUUAGUGAGAUAUUGUUUGGAGUUAAAAACAAGAAAUUCUUUUGCAUAAUCAAUUUGAACAGUUUUGAUUUUGAAACCAGAUUUUCAGAGAAGAGUUUAAAGCGUUCAAAUGCAGCAAGAGCUUGAGAUUUAGCAUGCUAGAGAUAAAUUCAUGUAUAUUUUAAAUAUGCAUUAGGAAAAGAGAUAUCGUAUGAUGCAACAUUAUUAGCACAAACAACAAACAGCAGAACGUCCCCAAAUAUCAAUAUAGAUAAAUUCUAAAAGGUGAUUAUCCACACUGUUUUAGAACAACUUUGAUUACAGAAAAACUAUAACGCCCAAGUCUAUUAUGCCACAAGUGAAAAGAAGUUUUUUCAUAUUUAAAAGAUGUGUAGUUAGCAGAAAAAACAGAGGAUCAGAGAUCAAGAAAGACAGAGAGAUCAUCUUUAAGUGUGCCUUGUAGAAGAAUCUGUUUAGUUACUUAGUCUUUAACAUAGCAAGAAUGAGGGUGAAAUUCAAAAAACACAUUGUUGUUACGAGCAAACUUUGAAACACUAAGCAAAUUCUUAGUAUAAUGAGAAACAUGUAAAAGAUCAAGGAGAGAGAAGGAAGUACAAGAGGUAGACGACACACAGGAAGCAGAACCAAUGUGGGAGAUUUUUAUACCUGCACCAUUACCAAGUUUAACGUUCGCAAUGCCAUGAUAGAUUUGUUGAUCAUUGAACAGAGUAUGGUCGUUUGUUAUAUGGUGAGAGACACCGCUAUCUGGGUACCAUAAUGGAUCUUCUAAAGAUGAUGGUGGACCAAGAAGAGAGUAAGAAGAGUCAUCACGUGGAGGUGGAGAGAAAUGAGAUGUGUUUGCAGAGGAGGAUGGUGGUGUAGUACGAUCAAACCAGUGCCAACAAUGAAGAGCAGUGUGUCCAAGUUUGGAGCAUAUUUGACAGCGAACAGGGUUGCGUUUCCAUGAUGAAGACGUAGUGGAGUUCCAAGAAGAGUAUUGGGAAGGUCGGGGUUUGCCGCGGUUGAACUGAUUCUAGUUAGAUGUGGGAUUGUAACCACGACCACCACAGGAGGAGUUGGAAAAGGGGAGGUGGAGAGAAAUGAGAUGUGUUUGCAGAGGAGGAUGGUGGUGUAGUACGAUCAAACCAGUGCCAACAACAAUGAAGAGCAGUGUGUCCAAGUUUGGAGCAUAUUUGAGAGCGAACAGGGUUGCGUUUCCAUGAUUACGACAGUAAUAAAUGUAUUAUAUUCUUCAGAUAGCCUUCAAGGAUGAUGUCAAUAUGAUCAGUGGAAACAGGGGCAUCAAUAGCGGCAAGCAUGUUGACGGCGUUCUUGAUAUCAUGGAGAUAGGAGGAGAUGGAUCUGUGAUGACCUGAUUUUGUUGUUGGUACCAUUAGAGACUUGGGGACUGUCAUCAGUGGUGGAAGAAGUGGUUCUUGAUGGAACACUAGUGUCGUCAAGAAAAUGACCCAGUUUGAGCCCGCAAAUGGAGGCAAGGACUUGAUGUUUCCAGAGAAGAUAGUUAUCUUCAUCUAGUUUAAGAGUGAUGGGUGUUGUGAACUGUUGAACGGAAGGCAUGACCAGAGGUAACGGGCAAGAAGAAGAUGCAAAAGAAGAUGAAGAGAUAUGAGUGCAGUGCAUUAGAAUAGAGAGAGAAAGGAGAAAGAUAUUAUCUUAGUAUAUGUGCUAAAGGUAUAUAAGGAGUGCAGAACUGGAAACACUUACAAAGUUGUCGUUACACAGUUAUAGUAUGGUUAACAAUGUAUAAUACAGAAAACAUGCUUGUGUACUUUAUUUUUAUCUUUGAAAGUUUAGAACACAGAGGAACAUAGAUAGCUAGAAAAACCUGAUCUCCUUCCCAGAGUUGUUCAAGAUGGCAGCCUGGCAUUUCCAGGGUCACAGUCUGGCAUUUCCAGGGUCACUAGAUUUUGUGGGCAAAAGUUUGGAGGCCAGAAUCUUUGAGGGAAACCGUUCCAAUAAAGAAACUUUAGAGUGUCUGGCAGACCUACAAGAGAUGAUUCAAGAGACACAUUUGAUAUGAAUAUAGGCAUGUAGACCAUAAGCAUCAUAAGAUUGUCCAUCUUUUCGAAACUUUGUGCAUGUACUACAGCAUCUUUUACUUUGUUCGUAUGUAGUAAUAUACACUGUAUUGCAUCUGACCCCUGAAAGUAAAUCAAUUUAAUUAGGAGAAAAAAAACAUGAAAUGUUGCAUUGCAGGAUGUUUAAUGACAUCUCAGUGGUUUGCAAUUUUUUACAAAGUAAAUCCAUUCUCAAUUGAGUAACGACAUAAUACCUUGUUCUUUCUUAAAACCUCUCAAAUUUCCUCAGCAUUAAACAAUCGGCUGCGUUUUCCAGGAUGCUGAGGACACUCUUUACGAACAAUUUCUUGACUCAUUUCUNNNNNNNNNNNNNNNNNNNNNNNNNNNNNNNNNNNNNNNNNNNNNNNNNNNNNNNNNNNNNNNNNNNNNNNNNNNNNNNNNNNNNNNNNNNNNNNNNNNNGAUCCAUCUUUUUCUGCUGCUACCAUGUCGAACUCCCUUCAAAUCAAUACAAUGUCUUCACCAUCAAUCAGCCAAGUGAUUAAUGUUAAACUCACACAAGAAAAUUAUUUAUUGUGGUCUGCUCAAAUCCUUCCCUAUUUACGUAGUCAGGGGCUGGUUGGGUUUGUGGAUGGAUCCAUGCCACCACCAAACCAAACGAUUACGGUUGAGUCAAGUGAAGAAACAGGGAGCCGCAAAAUCCUGAAUUCACAGUCUGGUACCCCCAGGACCAGCUGGUACUCAGUCUCAUCAACUCAUCGGUUACCGAGGAAGUUCUCAGCACGGUGGUCGGAAUCACCACUGCACGAGAAGCCUGGGAUAUGCUGGAGCGGCAAUUUGCCUCCACAUCUCGAGCACGAGCAAUGCAGAAUCAUAUGGAACUCUCCACGAUCCAAAAGAAGGACAUGACAAUUGCUGACUAUUUUCGUAAAGUAAAACGUCUCGGAGACACUCUGGCUGCCAUUGGCAAGCGAGUAGAGGAUGAAGAACUCAUCGCCUACAUGCUGCAAGGACUUGGUCUAGAUUAUGAUCCUCUUGUCACAAGCAUUACAACUAGAACAGAUGUUUACACUGUCAGCGAUGUGUAUGCUCAUAUGCUGAGCUACGAGAUGCGUCAUCUGCGUAAUGGUACUCUUGAGCAAUUUCCUUUUGCUAACAAUGUCAACAGCAUGUCUAAUCGAGGAGGAACUAAUGGACGUCGUGGUGGUCGUGGUCGUCAAUCAAAUGGUGGUCGAGGACAAACAUGGCACACUAGAAACAAUUCUGGACGUCAGCCAUCAAAGGCACAAAGUAACUCAGACAAAGUCUGUCAGAUUUGUGGUAAGCCAAACCAUGAUGCUUUGCAAUGUUGGCACAGAUUUGAUCAGGCAUAUUAAGCCGAAGACAAUCUUAAACAAGCAGUUGUGGCCACAAGUGGAUAUACUGGUGAUGCAAACUGGUACGUAGAUACUGGAGCCACAGAUCACAUCACCAACGAGUUAGAAAGACUUACCACCAACGAACAUUACAAUGGCACUGAUCAGAUUCAAGUUGCAAAUGGCUCAGGUUUUUCUAUCUCUCAUAUUGGGAACUCAUUAAUUUCUGGUUCAUCUAGAUCUCUUGUACUGAAACAUAUCCUAUAUGCUCCUAAAAUCAAUAAACAUCUGAUUUCAGUACAAAGACUAGCAUCUGAUAAUAAUGCCUUUGUGGAAUUUCACCCACACUGUUUUUUUGUUAAGGACCGAGCCACGAAGGAACUUCUGCUCACAAGUAGAUGUAAGAAUGGCCUCUACACUUUACCAAAUAACUCCAGCAAAGCAUUCCCGACAGCCAAACUUUCGAAAGAACAAUGGCAUAGAAGACUUGGGCAUCCUGCUUUCCCAGUCACAAUUAGAAUCUUGAAAAAUAAUAACUUAGCUCUAGAUACUAGAGUUUCUUCUUCCUUAAUUUGCCAUGCUUGUCAACUAGAAAAGCACAUCAAUUACCCUUUGUUUCUUCUCAACAUGUAUCUACAGCACCUCUUCAAUUGAUUCAUACUGAUGUAUGGGGUCCAGCCAUUGUCUUAGUGAAUAAUUCUAAAUAUUAUGUUUCAUUUGUUGAUGAUUUUAGCAGAUAUGUUUGGAUUUAUUUUUUGAAAUACAAGUCUGAUGUUGAGUCUGUGUUUCAUCAGUUUCAAAAACAUGUUGAAACCAUGCUAAACACCAAAAUUCGCUCUGUCCAGUCAGAUUGGGGGGGUGAAUACCAUCGUUUGCACCAAUAUUUCAAAACAACUGGAAUUGAGCAUCGUCUUUCUUGUCCUCACACACAUCAGCAAAAUGGGUUGGUAGAAAGAAAGCACAGACACAUUGUGGAAACUGGCCUUACUUUACUUGCCCAAGCUAACAUGCCUUUGUCCUAUUAGGAUGAAGCCUUCAAUACAGCUUGUUACCUUAUAAAUAGACUACCAUCUCGAAUCAUACAAGCAAGACACACCACUUCAUAAAUUAUUUGCAAAAAAUCCAGAUUACACCAUGCUUAAGGUGUUUGGCUGUGCUUGCUGGCCCAAUUUAAGGCCUUACAACACCAAGAAACUGAGUUUUCGAACCACUAAGUGUGUCUUCUUAGGCUAUAGUUCUUCUCAUAAGGGAUACAAGUGCUUAGAUAGAAGUACAAAACGAAUUUACAUCUCUAGAGAUGUAAUCUUUGAUGAAAAUGUGUUUCCUUUUGAAGAAUUAAAUUCUAAGUCAUCAAUCCAAACCAAAAAUUCACACCAGCCUGCUCUACUUCCAACCUUCGUUAAACCCGUUCCAUACACUGAAAAUGCUCUCACAAAUAUUGAACCAGUUGUUAAUGAUUCUCGUAUAAUUGAUGGUCAAUCUAAUGAUGUUGCUAAUAACAACUUGUCUGGUAUAAGCUUACAUCCUGCAGAUAAUACAAUAAGUCCAGAAAUUGUUGCAGAACAGGAAGCUGAGAACAGUCUGACCAAUUUCCAAGAACAGAUGUUCNNNNNNNNNNNNNNNNNNNNNNNNNNNNNNNNNNNNNNNNNNNNNNNNNNNNNNNNNNNNNNNNNNNNNNNNNNNNNNNNNNNNNNNNNNNNNNNNNNNNGAACAAGAUUGAAAAAUAACAUUGUCCAAGCAAAACAGUUCACUGAUGGUACUGUCAGAUAUUCAGAGACCUCAAGAAAGUUUACCGGUGCUGUCACUGUCAAAAAUCCGACCACAAUAAAUGUACUAAAAAAUGCUACUGAGACUGAUACAGUUACUGAACCUCAAAACCUGCAGGAAGCUCUACAAAGUCCAGGUUGGCAGGAAGCAAUGAAUAAUGAGCUCUCAGCAUUACAACACAAUGAGACUUGGGAUUUCGUUCCACCAAAACCUGGCAUAAAUCUCAUUGAUAGUCGAUGGGUGUAUAAAGUGAAAAGGAAAGCGGAUGAAUCAGUGGAGAGAUUGAAAGCAAGGUUGGUUGCUAAAGGGUUCAAGCAAAGAUUUGGCAUUGAUUACAUUGAUACCUUUAGCCCCGUGGUCAAGCCAUCAACAAUCAAAGUUAUUCUUUCACUAGCAGUAACCAAAGGCUGGAAUAUGAGACAAGUUGAUAUCCAAAAUGCAUUCUUGCAUGGAAUUUUGGAAGAGGAAGUGUACAUGCGACAACCAUCGGGAUUUCAAGACCCAUAUAAACCAAAGGAAUACAUAUGCAAACUCAAGAAAGCGCUUUAUGGCCUGAAACAGGCUCCAAAGGCUUGGCACUCAAGACUGACUGGAAAACUUAUGGAAUUAGGCUUUAGAGCUUCUGUAGCUGAUUCAUCUUUGUUUAUCCUCAAAAACAAAGAGGUAACCAUCUAUAUGCUCAUAUACGUUGAUGAUAUAAUUAUCGUGAGCUCCUCUGAUCAAGCCACCGAAAGGUUGAUUCAGAAGUUGAAAAUAGAUUUUGCUAUAAAAGACUUAGGUGGUCUUGAGUAUUUUCUGGGUAUUGAAGUCAAGAAGGCAAGAGAUGGCAUCACANNNNNNNNNNNNNNNNNNNNNNNNNNNNNNNNNNNNNNNNNNNNNNNNNNNNNNNNNNNNNNNNNNNNNNNNNNNNNNNNNNNNNNNNNNNNNNNNNNNNAAAUUAUUCAAAGAGCAGGGAACACUCUUGUCAAUUGAAGAACAAUUUAAAUACAGAAGUACUGUGGGAGCAUUGCAAUACUUGACAAUGACCAGGCCUGAUUUGGCAUUUGCUGUCAACAAGGUUUGCCAAUACCUUCAUACGCCUACUGAUGCUCAUUGGAGUGUUGUAAAGAGAAUCCUUCGUUAUGUCAAGGGCACAUUAGAUUUGGGAAUCAGAAUUCAGAAGUCUCCAACAAUGCUGCUGUCCGGAUUUUCUGAUGCUGAUUGGGCUGGUUGUCCUGAUGAUCGACGUUCAACUAGCGGCUUUGCUGUAUUUCUUGGAGCAAAUCUAAUUUCUUGGAGCUCUAGAAAACAAACCACAGUGUCCAGAUCGAGCACCGAAGCAGAAUACAAGGCCAUUGCGAAUCUGACAGCAGAAAUGAUUUGGAUAAAAUCAUUAUUGAAAGAGCUUGGUGUGUAUCAAUCAAAAGCUCCUCGACUCUGGUGUGACAAUCUAGGAGCUACAUACUUAACUUCAAAUCCAGUGUUUCAUGCAAGAACAAAACAUAUUGAAGUUGACUUCCAUUUUGUUCGAGAACAAGUGGCACGCAAAGCAAUGGAAGUUCAGUUUAUUUCAUCAAGUGAUCAAGUGGCUGAUAUCCUAACAAAACCACUGUCUAGAACUCUCUUUAUUACACAUUGUAACAAUCUCAACAUGUAUAAAACCUGUUGGGAUUGAAGGGGACUGUUAGAAUUAGUCAGUUAGAAGUGGAACACGUUUGUAGAAGUGGAACACGUUAGUUGGUUAGUUGCCUUAAGAAGCGGAUCAUGGAUCCAACCGUGUAUGCAAUCAGUUACCUUUCUUUAAUUAUAAAUACAAUACGUCCUCCACAUAGAGAGGUACAGUUAGCAAACUUUAUUAGAGCUGAAUCGGUAACAUCAUCAAGAAUGAGGAGAACCUUUGUCCGUUUGAGCCUUUCAUUGUAAUAUGGUGAAGAAGAGGAUUUCUCUUCCUUUAGAAGCUCAGACUGAUAUUUUGUUCUGAUACUGUCUAUUCCAUCUCUUUGUAUUUUUUCUUGAACGUCUAAAACAAGGCUGCUGGAAUCAAACUGCAAUGCCAAUUUGUGAUAUAUUUGAUUACAAAUUGUAGUUUUUCCUAUUCCUCCCAUGCCACAAAUUCCUAUGAUCCGAACAUCCGGUGACUCAAGAUGCAACAAGGACUGAAUUCCUUCAAUAUGUUUUUCAAUGCCGAUGAUUCCUUGAUCAUAACUGAUGGAAUAACGAUUCAAUUUUUUCAACAAGUGUGUGUUCUGUGCUGGCAGAUGAUUUAGAAAAUAAUGUAUAAGUAUUCAAGCACAAAAGCUAAACUAAAGAAAAAUUCUACAGCAUCCGUUUGUGACUUCUGAUACUAGGGAGAAGACUUGUAGGUACAAAGUUAAGCUAUAACAUGUAAUAUGGUUCAGAUCUAAGACCGACUAAUAGAAAUGAAAAAAGAAGCACUUGAUUUAGGGUGAGAUGAACACAAUUUUAGUAAAUGAAAAGAGAUCCUGAUUAUCUGGAAAGUGCGUGACCUGGUGACUUUUGAAUCCCAGCCUGCAAGUUCAGCAGCUUCGGUGAGAGCAUCCUUCCAUCCUUGCACUUUAUCGUGCUUAAAGUGCUGCUCAUGCUUUUCGAAUGCUUCUUUGUAUCUUUGUUCCUGCUUCCUAAUAGUUGAUGGAUCCACCUUGUAGAAAACAGGUAUGACAUCCCUUCCAAAUCUCUUCUUGCAUUCAAGUAUCUUAGUGAGUUCAUUCAAGCACCAAGUGGAAGAUGCAUAGUCUUGGGAGAAAACGAUGACAUAAAUCUUUGAAAAAUAAGUAUGAAAUCUAGAUAUAUAUCAUUAUCACGUGUGGAAGCUACGUCGUCUUGUAUUGGAUUUUCUAAUCUGCCUUUUAUCUUGUCUCAUUCUUCUUUAUCUUUUUUCUCUCAUCUCUCUUGCUUACGAUUUCUUUGCCUUUAUUCAGAAAUUUUAGUUAUAAUAAACCUUCAAUAAUAUUUGUACUUUCUAGCAUAUAGAAUACUUAAUGGAUCCUUUUCUGAUUUUUCUUUUCUAAAGUUCAAUUGAUUUUUUAAAUGUUUUUCUAUUUAAUUUUCCUUUCUUAAUGACACAUAAAAUGGUUCAGUGCACAAUUAAUUAUUCUCACCUUAGAUUUCAUUCAUCUCAUUCCAUUUCCACACUCAAAUCAUUCUCACAUUUGUUUCUACCUGUUUCACAAAGUUUUAGUUAAAAUAUGGAAAUUAAUGUUCAAGAACCCUACUUAAUAUUAAUAUUCAACAAUUUAAAAUAUUAAAAUGCAAAUUAAUCUUUCUUAAUAAUGUCAUUUUUAUGUAAAAAAUAAAAUGUAGUUUAGUCAUUUAUACUUAGAUGGAUAAAGAUGAUUUUAGAAAAAAAAAAUGCAUUUUAUUUCAAAGGUUAACUAAACUCUGAACUCAUUUAUGAAUUAAUAAUAAUAAAUAAUAUGUAAUUGUAUUCCAAUACCAUAUAAAUUUUUUUUAUUGGGUGCGUUUCUGAUGAAUUAAUGCACUCUAGGGACAAUGAUCGCUCUAGUAUUUGAUUUUUUAUUUAUUUUAAUGUUAAAAUUAUAGCUAUGUAGUACAGAUAUUACUGACACAGACAGACACGAACACGGACACAGAAAUACAUAAAAUCUCUAAAAUGUAGAAUACGGAGACAUUAAUCUAUAUAUUAUAUAAUUAUGAAUCAUAUAAAUUAACAAUAAAGAUUUAUGUGCACAAGUAUUUUUGAGAUUAUUUUUUAGAACAGAAAUAUGUUUUUCAUGACUAGUUCACAAAUAUUUGUUUCUUAUUCUUAUAAUCAUAAUAACAAUUUAUACCAUAAAGUUUCAAUUUUAGAAAAUUAAUGUAUUUUUUCUUUUUAAAAUUUCGUUAGAACUGUACUAGAAUUGUAAAAAAUCUAACAAAUACAUUUUGAAUUGGACAUUCCACGAAUACGUGUCCUACCAGUAUUUUGAACAACAUUCUUUCUUUUGGAACAAAGAGGGCAUAUGCCGCAGUCUUUUACUGUGAUAACUCAUUUCAACUCUCACACAACUGAUUCGUAAUCUGUGGGAUGCAUUAAAGCCUUUUGCAGUUAAAUCAAUAGUAUAUGAUGAUGUGAAUGUUAUUUAUAUACUAAAUAUAAUCACAUAGUAACUUCAAAUUUGAUAAGGUACAACAUGUUACCAUAUCUCUUUUAAUUUAUUUUAUUUCAUUAUAUAUUUAGGUGUAUUUAAUUUCUUUUAUUUCAUUGUGUAUUUAGGUGUAUUACGUAAAAUAUAUAAUUAAAAAGAAAGAAGAAUAAUGUUAUUUUGAAAUUUAAAGAAGACAUAUAGAAAUAAACAAGCUUUUGCUAAGAUUCCACCAUUGAAAAGGAACAUAGAACAAUCUUGACAAUUAUACUUUGACUUAUUUUAAUUUCUUAUAUUUAUGAGUAUUAUUUUUUCUUAAACAUAGAUAUUGGAUAAAAAAUACAAAUAACAUUUCUUUAUUUCAAAUUUAAAAAUAUUUUAAAUUAAAAUAAAAUAAUUUUUUAAUUAAGAUAUAACAAAAUAUUCUUUAACAAAUUAUUUUAAUUUCAAAAUAAUUAAUUCAGAGGACGAUUGAAAAAAUAUUAAAUAUUAUAAUAAAGCUUCAAUAAUAUUUGUACUUUCUAGCAUAUAGAAUACUUAAUGGAUCCUUUUAUGAAUUUUCUUUUCUAAAGUACAAUUGAUUUUUUAAAUGUUUUUCUAUUUAAUUUUUCUUUCUUGACACAAAAUGUUCAGUGCACAAUUAAUUACUCACCUUAGAUUUCGUUCUUCUCUUUCCAUUUCCACACUCAAAUCAUUUUCACCUUUUUUUUCUUCUUAUUUCACAAAACUUUAAUUAAAAUAUGGAAAAUAAAGUUCAAGAACCCUGCUUAUAUAUUAAUAUUCAAAAAUUUAAAAUAUUAAUAUGCAAAUGAAUAUUUCUUAAUAAUUUUAUUUUGAUGUAAAAAAUAAAAUGUAGUUUAGUCAUUCAUACUUAGAUGGAUAAAGAUGGUUUUAGAAAAAAAAAAAGAAUAUGCAUUUUAUUUGAAAGGUUAUCUAAACUCUGAACUCACUGAUGAAUUAAUAAUAAUAAAUAAUAUGGAAUUCUAUUCCAAUACCAUAUAGGAUGGAGAAAAGUAAGAAGAGGAUUUACACAUUACCCUUUCAAAUGGAGCUCCUCAGGAUUUCAUAAUGCCUUCACUGCAAAUGCAACCCAAAUAUGCUAAAAAAGUUAAUGAAACUAUAUAUGAAGAGUUAAUGAAACUAAAUGGCGUGUGCUGAAAUUUUUGAUCCGAUAACCAUGCCCACAUUCAAAAAGUGAAAGGUUACUUUGCUUUAUAUUCCUUUGGGUGGUGCUACUUUUCAACUUGACAACAAAUUCCCAUUAUUGUGUGGUUAUCAAUUACCAUUUAACUUAUUCUCAUACCACAUUCACUAUAUAAUAGUCCAUCAUAAACCCCAAAAUUUGCACAUUUUCUAUUUGCAAGACAUCCAACAGACAAAGAAAACAUGUGAAACUGUGUAAUAAUGUGAGAACGUAAGAACUUACUUCAUCAUGAAAUCAAGCCAUGCCUGAGGGUUUUUUCUGAGAGCAUUCACCACAGGUGCAUAUUCAUGUGGCUGUAUCCCAUACUCAGCUAGUAUUUCUGCUACCUCUGCCGCUUCUUUUUUUGUCAAAAAACACAUAUUCAUUAUUAAUGUGCAAUCAAAUGGUAACGAAACUAUGUAGUACAAACACACACUGAUACGACACUAGGACGAACAUACGUAUAAUGUUACUCCUUCUAUGGAAAUGAAGGAUAUUCAGCAAUAACUUUUAAAACUCAUUACAUAGAAAUUUGCAUCAAGUUAUCAAAGUCUAUAGGAAUGAAUUUUCAAUUCAUGGAAACACAGAUAACAAAAAGUAAUAGAAAAAUAGAAAAAAAGUUGUCAAAUGAUUCUAUAAAAAAUUAACCUAUCAUGAAAAUCAAGAUGAUAGAAAAUAAAAUAAUGUGGCAUGAACAUCAAAAUCGUAUAAAAGCAUAAUAGAAGAACAGUGGAUACCAGUUUCUGGCACGGCGAUGAUUUCUUCUUGCUCUCUUUUCAAUUCCCUCGAGUAAUUAUCGGCUUCACUUUUUGCUGCCAAAUAACUGCACAAUGAAAAUUAACAUGAAAUAAUAACGGAAUUUAAAUUGAGUUUUGUGAGUGUGAAGAGUGUGGUUGAACGUACCCGCCGAGGCCCAUGGAGAUGGCGCCGGCGGCGACUUCCGCUAUGCCAGCGGUGAGAACGAUGGAGGAGGUGACAUUGGCGCCGGAGAGGCCGGCGGCGAGGGCGAAGGGGACGGUGAGGCCGUCGGAAACGCCGAUGAUGAUGUCGCGGACUAUUUCGCCGGCGGUGAAGUGCUUCUCGGUGUGGUGGUUGAGAAGGUUCGUUCUCUCAGAAUCCACGCUUAUGCCGUGUUCGGUGGCGGCCAUUGGUGCAAGCUUGUGAAUGUGUUUGAGUUCGCCAACGUGCUCUGGGAAUCCAAACAAAGCCUUGCUGCUUUGCACAUAAAUUGAGCCUCUUUUGUGCUCAACUUACUCCUAAAUAGAACAAAAAUAUCUAACCGUUGAUGAUAUCCACGUGGAAAAUUAUCAAUGGAUAUCAAUAUCACAUUAUUUCUACACUAAUAUUUUAAUUAUUUUUAAAUAUUAUAACUAAAUCAAUCAAUAUAAUACCAAAUCUUCUUAAUUCUUUGGAUUAUAUAUAUUUUAUUUUAUUUUAUUUAUAAAGGAAGUUGUGAUAAAUGUUGUGUUUUGUGUGCACAUUAAUAAAAAUCAAAUAACCAAAAAAUAAUAAUCUUGUGAAAGAAAAAAUGGUAGAAUUUAUACUAUUCUACAAAAUUUUAAAAGUGGCUAAUGUGUUUUACUCAACUAUGUAAAUAAUUUUGGACUCUCUUGUUAAGGAAAUAAUGAAAUACAUUAAAUUUUGUUUUAUACUCUUACUUUAAGUUUUUUUGUGUUUCUCCUGACUUAAUUAAAUAUCAGAGAGUCGUCUUUUGCAGGUAGAUUUCAUUCUAUCAUAAUAUACCAACUGAAAACUUGUUUUCUGAAAAACACACGGCUCUCACCGAAUUGCACUUUCCAAUUUUUUUUAAUAGAAAUAAUAAUAAUUAAGUAUUUGUGUUCUUAUAUUUAAUUUUUAAUAAAAAAAUUAUUCUUAUGUACUUCUAAAUUGAUAUAUUUUACCAAUGUCUAUUAACAAUGGGAAGAAGUUUAUACCUAACAAAACUAUUUAACAUGAUUUGUUUGUAAAUUAUAGAAGUAUGUGUAGAAAGAUAUAAAAUUAAUGUUUUAAGAGAAAUUUAAGCAACUUUCAUAAUAUAUUGUAGAUUAUUAGUUGAAUUUAUGGAAAUUAAAAAUAAAUUGUAGGUCACCACACUUCCACUUUUUUUUAAUGAUAUCAAAUCACAACUUUACAAUUUUCACUAAUUUUUAACCAAUAACAAAAGAACAUCUUAGAAGAAGUGUGUUUAAGAAUUUGAUGUUAACUCUCAUUGUUUUUUAAACUUAAAUCCAGCUUUAUUCUUCAACUUUUAAUUUUUAUACAUAUUUAAUUGUAUAUAUAGUUUUUAACUCUCUAAAAUCAAACAAUUUUAAUUCAUUAAAUAGGCAAUGUCAUGAGUGUUAAACUUUUAACAUUUUUCUAGUAAUUAAAUUACUUAUGAAGAUUCAACUAAUUCAAAAUUUAAUAUUUUUACAAUUUUUAUUAUAAUAUUCUUAAAAUAUAUUUUAAUAUUUUGUUUUUCAUGUUUGAAAUAUAAAUGUUUUAAAAAAUCAUUUUAAAUUAUUUUGUUUCUCAUCUUAUGUAAUAAAUUACUAUAAUAAUUACUAAAACAUUUAAUACCUAUACAUUUUUAAUGAGCAAAAACUAAUAAUGAAUUAUAACAAAUAAAAAACGUUUCUGGGCAACAAAAUAGUAAUUAAUAUGAAUUAUAACAAAUAAUGAACGUUUUGUGGUAAUUUGUUUCACUUUCAAAUAAGUUAGUACUUCGCCUGUUAUUUCAUAACGGUAGUUUUUUUAAAUAUAUUAAGAAAAAUGUUUAUUUUUUUAUUUUUAAUGCACUUUUAAGUAACUUGCCUAUUAUAUUAUAUUAUAUGGGUAUUAUAUAUAUAUAGGUAAGCACCAAAAAAUAAAUUUAAGGUAAAAGUGAUAUAAUUAAAAUAAAAUAAAUUAUUAUUAAAUAGAAAAUAUAUAUAAUUAAAAAAAUCAGUUAUUUAAGUUUUAUUUUAAAAUAAUUUUUGUAAAAAAAUUUUCUUUUUUUCCUUGUUCACGAUUUUAAAUUUUAUAUUCACUUGGUAGACAUGUUUUGCAUGUGGUGUUUGGGACUUAAAAGAAUAAUAUAUGUUAGUUCAAGAUCCUAAUGAUGUGUUUUUAAGAAGUUGGACUAUCUUUGUUUUUUUAAGAAGUUGAAGUCUUUUUAUGAAUACUUAUCUUUUUAAACAGGUAAGAUAAACUAGUUUUAUCUGUAAAACUUAAGUUAGAAUAUCUGAAUAUGAAAUGUGAUUCUUCAUAUGAUUAUGAUUGAAUGAUUCAAAAUUCAAGUAUAAAGUUUUAAGAAUCAUUAACUUAUGUUUUUUUUUUUGUGCUAUUUUUUUGAUUUUUUGCAAUGAUUGUGUGUUGCAUGUGAGCAAAUGAUGUUACAAGUUGUAAACCUAAAAAAAAAUCAUGAAAUUUUGUCUUUUUUAUUCUUUUGAUAUUUUAUCUUAAUGAUAUAUAUAUAUAUAUAUAUAUAUAUAUAUAUAUUUAAAAAUCUCUAUAUGAAAGGAUAGUAUUUUAUGAUAUAAUAAUAUGAUAAUGUAAAUGUUAUUUAUAUAAUAAAUAUCAUGAGAUAAUUUAAAUUUUGAUAAGAUAAAUGAAGAUGUUACAAUAUCUCUUUUAAUUUUUUUUUAUUUCAUUAUAUAUUUAGGCGUAUUUAAUUUCUUUUAUUUCAUUGUAUAUUUAGGUGUAUUACGUAAAAUAUAUAAUUAAAAAGAAAAAAUAAUGUUAUUUUGAAAUUUAAAGAAUGACGUAUAGAAAGAAACAAGCUUUUGUUAAAAUUCCACCAUUGAAAAGGAACAUAGAACAACACUCUUGACAAUUAUACUUUGACUUAGAUACUUAUUUUAAUUUAUUAUAUUCAUGAGUAUUAUUUUUUCUUAAACAUAGAUAUUGGAUAAAAAUUAAUAAAAUUUAUUUAUUUCAAAUUUAAAAAUAUUUAAAAUUAAAAUAAAAUAAUAUUUUUAAUUAAGAUAUAAAAAAAUAUUCUUUACAAAUUUUUUUAAUUUCAAAAUAAUUAAUUCAGAGGAUGAUUGAAAAAAUAUUAACAAUCUAUUUAUGCGUUUAUAGUAAACCUUCAAUAAUAUUUGUACUUUCUAGCAUAUAGAAUACUUACUGGAUUUCUUACUCUUUCUUUCUACACCUCUAUCCAUACUAAAUAUAAAAAUACCAUUUUAUUCUUUUUUCUCCACCCCUUGAAUUUGAAAUAAUAAGCCCAUGGAUUAUGUAAUCUGGAUAUAUUCCGGAUUAGUCAAUUUCAUAUUUAGAAAAGACUUUCGGAUUAUGUAAUCCAGAAGCUAAUAAAACAUCUGAAAAAAAGGCUUCCGGAUUACAUAAUCCGGAAGCUAAUCUUAUGUAUAGAAAAGACUUUCGCAUUAUGUAUUCCGGAAGCUAAUCACAAAAGACUUCUGGAUUACAUAAUCCAAACGCUAAUUCUAAAUCUAGAAAAAAGACUUCCGGAUUAUGUAAUCCGGAAUAUUAAAAAAGAUAUUUUUGAAAUACGAAAAAUUUAUGGGGGUGACACAAGAAGGUAUGGAGGUGCAGGAAGAAACAGCCUGGAUUCCUUUUGUGAUUUUUCUUUUCUAAAGUACAAUUGAUAUUUUAAAUGUUUUUCUAUUUAAUUUGUCUUUCUUAAAUGACACAUAAAAUGUUCAGUGCACAAUUAACUACUCACCUUAGAUUUCGUUCUUCUUUUUCCACUUCCACACUAAAAUCAUUUUCACAUUUUUUUUACCUAUUUCACAAAAAUUUAAUUCAAAAAUGGAAAUUAAAGUUCAAGAACCCUACUUAUAUAUUAACAUUCAACAAUUUAAAAUAUUAAUAUUCAAAUUAAUCUUUCUUAAUGUUAUGAAAAAUUUAAAAUGUAGUUUAGUCAUUCUUGGAUGGAAAAAGAUGGUUUUAGAAGAAAAAAAUGCAUUUUAUUUGAAAGGUUAUCUAAACUCUAAACUCAUUGAUGAAUUAAUAAUAAUAAAUAAUAUGGAAUUCUAUUGGAAUAGCAUAUAAAUGUUUUGUUGUUGAAACUGAUAAUUGGGUGCGUUUCUGAUGAAAUUAAUUAAUGCAGUCUAGGGACAAUUAUCGCUCUAGUAUUUCAUUUUUUUAUUUUUAACGUUGAAAUUAUAAUUAUACAAUUCCGUUUUUAGAUAUUAAAAUGAUAGUUUUCAUUUACAGAUUAAAAUAUUACUUGUUUCUUUUAAGAUUUUUUUGGUAUUAUAAUUAUUUGUUAGCUGAAUUGUUUUGCGUUAACAUGUUGUUUUCUUGGGCUAUGAUGUAAGCAAUAUAAAUGUUAUUUUUAAUGUAAGCAAUAAAAAUUAUGAGUAUUCAAAGUCGUGUAAUUACUUAAAAGAAUCAAGUGAUUUUUAAAAGAACUCACACGAUCAGUUUUAAUUUUGACGAUAAAAUAUAUUAGUUAUAUAUAUUUAUUCAAAAUUUCAAUUAUACUAUGCAUUUAUGGUUUUAUGCUUUUAGAGGAAUCAGUAACUUAGAAAAGCUCCCAAAAACUAAUGAAAUCCCAUGAAUGAAGAAGGAGAACAAAUGGAAGUGAAAAAUCAGUAAGAUGAUAAUUAAUAAACACCCUCUCUUAAUAACAUAACAUAGGAGUCUUUAAACUUAUAUUCUUCAAACAAUUAUAAGCUGUCUUCAACUUUACUGUUAAACUACAAUUAUAAAGAAUUAACAAUCUCACACACCAACAACAUUUAUAAGUCAUCACUCACAUGCAACAAGGUGUGCCUCAAUGUGAAAAAACCAAGAUCAAUAAGAAAUGAGGUUCCACUUAACCAAGCUGAGAAUUGUCUGGUUUUCCAGCUCCAUGCACAAACCUAAUACAAUGAUAUGAUAUUCAAUACCAAGAGGUACCUUGUCGUAAAACUGAGAAUAUGAGGUUGCAUAGGAUGGAGAAAAGUAAGAAGAGGAUUUACCAAUUACCCUUUCAAAUGCAGCUCCUCAAGAUUUCAUAAUCCCUUCACUGCAAAUGCAACCCAAAUAUGUUAAAGAAGUUAAUGAAACCGAAAUAUGAAGAGUUUCAAAAUAAAAAUUUAACAUGUUGAAACUUGUAAUUUAGAAGUAUUGACUAUAAGGCAGUUUAGAUCCUGACCAAUGAAAGACUAAUAAGCAGAAGAGGAAGAGACUAGUUGACUGGCUAGCUUUCGGCCUUCCACUUCCUAUCUUCCCUUGUUUCUCUUGAAGACUGUGCAACAUUGCUUCCACUGGAUUCUUCAAUCUCAACAGCACCACCAUAUUCAUCAUCUUUCUUUUUCGUAUAAAGAGGGCAUAUGCCGCAUUCUUUUAUUGUGAUAACUGAUUUCAACUCUCUCACAACUGAUUCGUAAUCUGGCCACCCAAAGUCAUAAUCACACGGACUGAUCUCAAAAGUGAAGCUGCGAGCAUCACAUAGCCUGAGGCUCAUGCCGCUCGCCCUUAGGGACUCCAAGUUAAAUUUCCACACGAAUGUGUGAUCUUUAUCAACACAUCUCUCUUCACCAUUCCAUUUGAAAUAGCUGUUUAACACAUCAUUAUUUGGAAUGAUCUGUGUGCCAUCAUCAUCAGAUUCAAAUGUUAGGCUGUAACUAAAAGAACCAUAUCUACCAUUCAUAGCAUACGUAUCUAACACUCCAAAAACCACACUCAAAGCGAAACCAGUGAGCCUAUCAUCGCUGCAGAAACUUAAAUCUUCAUUUAUAGUCACUGAAUGUCCCUUCCCACGAAAAUUGAACCAACCAGGAACUGCACUCCCUGGAAAACAGAAGAACACACACCUAUAUGCAUCGUCGGUCAUCCUAAGCCUUGCAUCCUCCUCAAUGUUAGCACGACCACCUGAAUCCAGUUGUUGAGCAUUGGUGAAAUGAAAUUUAAAUACACCCUCUUCGGAAUUUGAGAGGUUUCGAACAAGAGAAUUUGGCAUCACUCUUCUAAUGGAUGGGCAAUCCAAUGCCACGAGUUGUUUCAGAAAUGGUGGAAUCUGUGGGAUGCAUUCAAGCUUUUUGCAGUCGCUUAAAUCAAGCGAUUUCAAACUUGAAAGAUGAGCAAUGCUCCCAGGAAGGUUCACGAUUCCGCUAUUACGCAGUGAAAGUUUCAUUAAUGACGUCAAACGACCAAUGUGUCUAGGGAUUUCUGUUAAUUUGGGGCACCCCGAACAAUCAAGUUUAGAGAGAAGCUUCAGAUUAACAAUGCAGUUUGGAAGUGAGUCGAGAUCAGUGCAUUUGUGGAGCUCCAGGGAUCGAAGAUUAACCAAAUUGCCAAAUGAGGAAGGCAAUUCUUUAACAGCCGUAGAUGUUAAGUUAAUGUGAGCAAAAGUAUGAGCCGGCUCCGUGAUCUCUGGGAAGGACCUCAGCCUUGAGCAACCACCUAAAUCAAACUUCCUCAAUUUCAAAUUGAAAAUGGUGCUUGGAAAAGUUUGAAGUGAAUUACAGUGGGUAAGGUCUAACUUGCAUAGUCUGGUGAGGGUUCCAAUGGAAGAUGGAAUAAUCUGAAGAUUGAAGCAACUGCGCAAACUCAGUUGUUGAAGCCCUACCAAACGGCACAAGGAUGAAGGUAGUGCCUGUAUGGCUGUGUCGUCUAAGAUGAGCACCGCUAGAUCUUCCAACGUGUCCUGAAUCUGGGGUAAAUAUUCCAAUUUUGAGCAACCACGGAGAGAAAGUUGCUUUAGGAAUUUCAUAUCAGAAAGGUCAAACGGAAAGAUUGUAAGGGAAGAACAGUCAGAGAGAUCUAAGUAACAGAGGUUCUUGAGACUUUGAAAGUUCAAGGGCACACCUCCUCUGAGAUUUGCCGACACUUCAAAUUGUAAGUAUAGAGUAUUAUUAGCCACUUCUUCAU
Molecule: long non-coding RNA, 76061 nt
Filed under: Phaseolus vulgaris (common bean)
Lineage: Eukaryota; Viridiplantae; Streptophyta; Magnoliopsida; Fabales; Fabaceae
Description: long non-coding RNA (PVUL_LNC004765)
Rfam family: Small nucleolar RNA Z247 (bases 60864-61002)
Source: RNAcentral